UAAUUUAUGAGUGCCGAUGAAGUAUACUCUGAUUAGGGACAGUGGAAAAAGAGAAGAACAAGAGUGCAAAAUGCUCGAAUGGUUCACGUUUGGGUGAAGGAGAAACUGGGGCUUGUUCAUCACAUCUGUGGCUCGGAACUUGUCUGGAAAAGAAUUUGAGAGAUAUUAUAAUCAGAACCAUGAACUGAAAAAUUGAGAGAAUUGAGAGUUGUUACACAAUCAUACCUCGAGAUAUCGUUUCAAAAGUGUGGUGGUACUGUAAUUGAAUCCUUCGAGAGCGGUGCCUUGAGUGCGUGAUGAAUGAAGCUGCUUCCUCACCUGAGUAGCAAGAACUUUUCCAAGCUCAACUCCCCACUGGUCAAACGAAUUGAUACCCCACACAAAGCCUUGAACUGCUACUCUGUGUUCAUAGAUUGCCAACAACUGAAAACAAAAUAUAAUACAAAAUGUCAGCUUUUUAAAACAAUGACCCUCUCAUCUCAAAUCUAAAGACCGUACCGAUAAACCUGAGAUAGAGACAGACCUGGCCAACAUUGUAAGCAGUCAAUUCUGGAAGUAGAAGGCUAAGAGAAGGUCGAUUUCCGGAGAAUGUCUGUGGACAGAUACCAACAGUUUACCCAAACACGUUAAUAUACCAAAAACAUAGAAGCUUUUUUUGAACAUAGGUCCAAGUUCAUUUUUCACCUUGUGGGGAAUGAGAAAUUCUGAAACAUUCUCUUUCUGCAGCUGUUCAGGUGUCUACAAAAGGCAAAAACAAAAGAGUUUGUUUUAGAACGGAACCUUAAUAAUGCAUCAGUGUCUUCAUCCCAAAUGACCCAAUGUAAUGUCUUACUUUUCCAUAUGCAAGAGCAUCAGGCUGGGCAAAAAAGUUGGACAUUAGCUCGUCGUGGUUACUGACCACCUCUCCUGUGAAUCCAAUUCAGAACUUAUCUUUAAGUAUCGAAGAGAAUGCAUAAAAGAGCUCACAUCAAAUUUACAGCAACCGAAAUGGAAAUGCCUACCCUUCAGAUACACAGGUUGCUGACUCUUCACAAUGCCGAUGAAAUCACAAGGGAUUACGCGUCCCUAAAACAUCAUUUAGAAAGAUUUAGUGCAUUCCUCAUUAGCUUAUCAUGUGAUCUAGAUCCAAAUUUCCACAAAAUCAAAUUAUAUGUAGCAAGUACCUGGUGAAUUAGUUGGUAAAAGCUGUGUUGACCAUUUGUACCAGGUUCACCAAAAUCAAUCUCACCAGUCUCGAACGGGAGAGGUAGACCAUCAAUUGAAACUCCCUUUCCAUUACUCUCCAUACUAACCUGAAAUCAAAUAAUGUCUACGUUAAUACCCCAGUAAACAAUUUUAAUAUUUUCAGGUCAAAAAGCAAAUAUUAAAGCAGCAAAGAUUAAGGAGACAAAAGGAAAACCCAGUUCACAUACCUGUUGUAUGUGUGGAGCAAAUUUCUCAAGGGCUUGCGAGUAAGGUAAGAUGGCCUGAGAAAACAGAAAGAUGUUGAUGGAGGCUGAACAUCUUAAUCUGAGUAGAAAAUUUCAUCUAGCUGUUGAAGGAGUCAAUUCUUACCCUGGCAGGAUAUCCAAGAAAUGAUACAUUCCAUACACUCAAUAACCCUAAAAGCACCUGAAAUUGUCAAAAGCCACCAAAUCAACCUCUCAUUAUGUCUUAGCUACACUAACUACUACUAAUUUAAGGGAGUCUUUAUUUGGGAGUUAAUGGAAAUGCUUGCUUUCAACUGAGUAUAAGCAACGUCUUCACAGGAGAGUGAUUCUAGAGAAGCUCACACACCCAAUGCACAUUUACAUAUUGUUAUAUGAUGACUUCAAGUCAAACGAUUAUCAGAAUAAAACACUCACGGGUAUAUUCUUCUCAAACGGUGUGGACUGGAAAUGCUGAUCAAUGCUUGAAGCUCCCUUCAAAAACCUACCAUCCAAAAAAAAUGACUGAAUAUUGACUGCUUUAUUAUGUACGUUUUCUCUAGAUUUAGAAACAUAGUACAUUACUUUCAAAAUAAAACGGGAAUACAAGAGAAAAGAAGAAACCAUUCAGAUAAAGAAAAAAAAAAAACAGAAUUUACAUCAAUUUCUUUCCUGACAUUUUAUAGUUAGUACAGGUGUAUGUAUAAACUUAUGCAGAUAAAUUUCUCAAGACAGACAUGCAUUACUUCCUAUGCCUAAGAAAUUUUGUGAGAAGGAUAAAAGAUAGAAGCUACCAUACUUCUCAACCACGGAGAAGCCAUACUGCAGAGACAAAGGUAAGACUCCAACAGCACUGCAAACUGCAACAGAAUUUCAGAUAAAGACUAAGUGGAUAUGGGUGAGAAAUAAAUCCAACCAAAUAGACAAGAACUUACCACUGUACCUUCCACCAACCCAGUCCCAAAAUGCAAAUGCAUUGUUCGGGUCAAUACCGAACUUCUCCACUAACUGUUAAACAAAACAUACAUAGUUUAAACAUUUUUCUGUACUGUCUGAAUAUGAAACAUGUAGAAGGAGGUAGAAAUAAAUCAUAAUUUCAGGAACAUCGAGACUACCAUAGUCCAUUAAACCUGGUAGAUAAUUCAGUUUCUAACAAGACAGAUUAACAUGUCCAUCUGAUUUACAUAAUCAGAAAGACUCGAGUUUAUGUAUUUCUCGGUUUAACUGUCCUAAGAUGGACAAUAAGGAAAUACAUUCCCCAAAAUAAACUAUAGAAAAUGCAUACCGCAAGAUUAGUGCUGACAGCAACCAUGUGUUUUGCAACAGCUGAAGCCCUGUGAAGUUAUCACAUGUUAAAUGAAUGAUGUUAUAUUCACAAUAACCAAAACAUGGUAGAAUAACAGAAUUGCUUGUAAAUGUAUAAGCAUAAAUGCCUUUCUCUGGCGAUAAUGUGUAACAUGUACAAUAGGGUGUCACAGAUACUUUCUCUAGAUAUGCACAAACAGGAAGCCAACAUGCACAUAGUCAAAGUAUGUGUGUAUUCAUGACUACAAGAUUGAGGGCAGCUAAGAGAGAGGAGUGAAAGAGAGAGAUACAACUCUGGUCAUGAUAAUUGUAAUUUUCUAACAAAACAAGAUUAGGAUGCCAGAAAUACCAACCCAAGAGCAGCUGUUAUCCAUUCCCUCAAUGUCCUAGCGUUCAACAUUGUCUCUGCUGUUGUAAAUGUUUUCGAGACCACCACAACUGGAUUACAAGUAUUCUCAGGAUUAGUUAGAGUAAACAUCCGUCAAUGGAAAUUAUAAAGGUGCAAUUGUUAAUAGGUUUGAGCAUGAACCUAGAGUAGUUUCUGGAUUUAGUCCGAUGAUAUUUCUAGCAACAUCAACAGGAUCAAUAUUCGCAAGGCUGCAAAAAAAAGAAACACAAGUUAAUUCCAGGUAAGGCAUACACAUAGAAUGGAAUCAAAUGAAUAACUAGAAGCUAACAAUUUCAAUACAGCCUCCUCUUACAAGUUAACUGAAAUUUAGACAAACAAGGAGUAUGUGCUAUCUACGACAAUACUGGUGGAUAAAACAAUAUAUAUUUAGGAAUUUUCGUGGACCUUCAGGAGAAACUUCAAACUGUGGUGACAAGCAUAUCAAUUAAGAAGCUCAUUCGUUAAACAACCAAAGCAUUGAGAAAAGAAACACAGAAAAAACUAUGUAUGGAACUAUAUAACUACAGGUAUGUAGUGCUUACAAUCGCAGCUGGCGUCCUUUAGCAGACUCUAGAGCUUCAGGGUCUGAGAAUGAACAUGCAUAUAAAAGCAAAAAAUUGAAUUAAAACGAGCUAGAAAGAACACCAGCAAGAGGCAAGGUACCGAGACUAGAUGCAGCCCACCUGUUUGGAGAGCCGUGUGUACAAACAGUGGACCUAAGAAGCUACCACCAAUACCAAUCGCAAUGACAUCUUUCAGUGGUUUGCCAGUGGCUCCUACCUGUCAAUUAGUGCAAAAAAACUCAACAGAAGGAGAUAACAACGCUAAGAGGUAGGUUUUCAAAUGGCAUCUAGAAUUUACCCAUGAACCAGAGCGAAUUUUCUCAGAAAAUUCCUUGAUCUUAUCUAGAACGUUCCACACUUCUGGAACCACAUUCUUUCCAUCAGCCUUGAUAACUGCAUCCUUUGGAGCACGGAGCGCAACAUGAAGAACUGACCUGUUCUCCGUACUGUUAAUCUAAGGAAGUCAUUCAGAAAGUCAUGCAAAAAAAAAACAAUUCAGACACCUAAGAAUGGAGAUGAGAAAAUUGUCUACUGGAGAAAAUAGAAAAUAAAUCUCUAGCAAUUCAUUUAUGUUCUCUAAUAAGUAAUACUACAUAAAGAGUUUCAUAAGAUCAAAUCAAAGUGAGAUUUAACAGCUAUUCCCGUAGCGCGAUAGGAAGUCCAGGAUACUUACAUGCUCCCCGUUGAACAUGCGGCUGAUCUUCUCAGUCAACUGUGCAGCCUGCAUAUGGAAACAACUGAGUGAAUUACAUUACCGUUCUACGAAGUCUGCCAAUAAAACAUUUGCCCUCACCUUUGCCAAGUUCAAAAGCUUAUCCAUUGUCUCUACAGUUGCACGCUGUCGAGAAUAAUCCAACAGCAACCCAUCAAAUUCCCUAAUUAAAAGCAUACAUACCAACAGAGCAAGGACUUAAUAACAGAACUCGUGAAUGCACAAUAACAAGUUUAAUACCAGAGCAACAGAAACUCGUGAAUGCACAAUAACUAUGAAUAAACUUAAAAUCAAACUUUGAUGCUAGGACACAAAACAAAAACAUCCACCUUCUCUAUAUAAGCCAUAAAAAUCAUCUUAAAUCGUUUAAGAAACACGAGAAAACACCAAACAUUUAACAUUGCAUGUCAAUCAACAGAGUUCAACAUCAAACAUAAUAUAGAUAGCACCCAUACAUCAUCAUGGACUGGCAUCUAUUAGCAUCACUCAUCAAAUCACGCAAAUGAGUCUUCUUAAUAUCUUCAACAUGUCCCUGCCAAAAUCCCAAAACAAUCCCAAAUCACUUCUCUACACAAACCACCAUUGACAAACUAAGCACAGAGAAAUCCUUCAAGACUACUUACCUUCAAAUCCUUCCACGCUUCGGUAUCACUAGUCAAAGCGGUUGAUGACGCCAUUACUGGUAAUCAAUCAUCAACAACAACAACAAAAAAAAGUCAAAUCUAAAACCAGUUUCGUUCAUUUUUCAGCUGUGAUAAUAAACAAAAGUUCGGAUUCACAGUGAGUCGUCGUUCAUCGAAACCUUAUCAACGAUUCAACGGAACAAAAAGCUUUGAUUUGGUAUUGGAAUUGCGAUUAAAUCGCGAGAAGGGAAAAAAAAAACCUGAAGAUCUUCGAAGAUGAGGUGAAGAAGAAGAUUCUGGAAUUGUGAGAAGAAGAAAGCUAUUGAGAGAGAGGAAAAGAAAAAAAGCGAUAGGGAAGUGUGAGAGCUGAGGGUAUGACACGUGUUGACGGAAGGUUCCAAAUACUGCACAGAAGGAGGAUUAUUUCAGGUCUAUGAGCAUCGAGACAUCAAUCUCAAUCAAUUUCCGGAAACUUAACACUAAACUGGGUAAAAGAGAAGAAAAAAUGUAUUGAUCAUAAAUUUGAAAUCAAACUUGGUAAACAUGCUAAUCACUCAGAAAGCUCGAGAUUGAAUCUGGCAUCUAAUCAAAAAUGCAUUAAAACAGGUCCACACAAACUAAGAGGGUCUAGAUUAGUAAGUUCAGAAUCGAUUCAACUUUUUCUCUUUUUGAUGGAAAGUAAGUUUCUAUUGAAUGUGAAGAGAUCGGCAGCACCUCAAUCAUGAAUUCGUAAAACCCUAAGCCAGAAAUGAAGAGAGAGGUGCUAAUUACCAAAUAUGAAACAAAAGACAGAGGUGCCGAAACUUAAAUUGAUACAAUGGAGACUGAAAUUAAAAGAGGAAUAGAGUGAAUAACAACAGAGAGAGAGAGAGAGAGAGAGAGAGAGAUAACAUUCGAAUGAUCAAACGAUACAAUCGAACAAGCAGCAGACGCAUAGAGAGAUACAUAUAAUGGAGAAACACGACGGUGAGAAAAUAAUAGAUAAGAAGAAUACAAGCGUGUCUUACCUUACGACCGGAGGAGAAGCAAUGAGUGAUGACGGCGGAGGGAAGAUUUGAAUCUGGCGGGGGAUAACGGCGACGGCGGCGGCAGAAACAGACCAAGAGAGAGAGAGAGGAGCGGAUAAGAGAGAGAGAAAGAAGGGCUUAUUUUUGGGAUUUCUUUUUAAUAAUACUAGGAAAUGGACAAGUGGUAUUUUAAAAUAAUGAACAUUAAAAUAAUGAACAUUAGUAAUUCCUUUUUUUUUUUUUAUCACUGAAAAGGGAUAUAUAUUGAUAUGUCAAAAGAGGAGGGACCUUUACAAAAACCUCAUCACGGUUUUAUGAGAGGUACCAUUAAGUACCAACCACCAAAAAUUUACGACAAAGAUUGGAAAAGGAAAAAGACUGCAGUUAGAGAAAGGUUCUCUCAACCUCAAAGAACCGAGAAAGCCAAGAAGGAGGACCUACAGCAACAUACGACUGAAAUCGAUCUUCUUUGACAACACUUUGAGCAAUUAGAGAAGCUCUCCUGUUCGCAACUAUCUUUUCCACCAUAACAUUCCAUUCUCCAAUCUUUUCCAAAAAAUGAGUUAACUCAGAAACUUGAUAAGCAAAAGAAGGCCAAGCAGAUGGCCUGGCAAAAGCAGACAUUAAGUCCCUAGUCUCAAAAACAAACAGAACCUUGGAUUUCCUGUGACUGAACAUGCUUUCAAUAGCCCACUUGACACAAUGCAACAUGACAUCUUUUUUUUCGCACAAGUUAUUGAAAGCCUUUCUGCUAUGCAACAAAACCUCUCCACGAUCAUUGCAUAAAACCCAAGCACCUCCACAUAACCUUUUUUCCCAGACCAGGCAGCCCCGAUGUUGCAUUUUACCCAACCAGAAGUAGGCGGAUCCCAUCGAUGCAUUCCUGGAUCAUUAAAUCUGUUCAAAACAGGAUCAACAUUCUGAAUAUGAGAUUGAGCCAAAAACCAUUCUUGAGUGUCUUAUUUAAUCUUCUCAAUGGAUUUUAGAGGGCAGAAAGAGAGGCCAUCAAAAAACAACUUGUUUCUGUUUUUCCAUAGUCUCCAGAGAACCCAAGGCCAUGAUCUUUUUACCUGCUCAGGGACUUGUGAGUUCAGCUUAAGCUCAAAGAGAAAUUGGAUAUUGGCAAAGAUUGAGCCAUUUUGAAAUCCAUUCUACGGAGUAGGGACACCAGACAAAGCCCAAACUUGACGAGCUAGGGAACAAGUAAAAAGGACAUGGUUUAUAGACUCACCUUCAGCACCACAAACCUGACAGCGAGGGUCAAUAUCAAUACCUCUCCUAAUAAUCUGAUCAGCAACAGGAAGAGCUGAACAAAAAAUUCUCUAGAUGAAGAGUUUUAUUUUUGGAGCAGUUUUAGAAGACCACACCUUUUCUUUAAGACCAUUGGUUGAGGGCAGUUGACUGACAUCUCUAAUUAGAUCAGGCUUAUUAGAUUGAAAGGCUAACCAAUAACCCGAUUUAACAGAGUACUCCCUAGAUUUUGAGUGGAACCAGACCCAGAAAUCAUUUGAACUCACCACUGGUUUCCUUAUAGUAAUUAUCUCCACGUCAACAGGGUAAAACAGAUCCUCCAGCAUAUCUCUCUUCCAAUCUCUUCUUUCCAAAUCAAUGAGAUGCUUUACCAUGAGAUUCAGAUUGACAGUGAAGUGCUUUUGAAGAGGUAGCCGUGGAGCAUUGUCAUGAAGCCAAGGAUCCAUCCAAACAUUAAGGGAUCUGUCGUUACCAACUUCUUUCCUUAGGCCUUUCAUUACCAACUCUCUACCAUGCAAAAUACUCCUCCAAGCGUAUGAAGGUCUGACUCCUAUCUCAGCCUCAAGGAAAUCCUCAUCCUCAAAAUAUCUACUCUUGAAGAAUCUUGUAGCCAAACAAGAAGGAUUUUGAAGGAGUCUCCAGGCUUGCUUAGCCAACAAUGCCUGGUUAAAACUUUGAAUGUCUCUAAAGCCCAGCCUACCUUGCUCUUUAGAGAGACAUAUUUUCUCCCAACUGACCCAAUGUGUCUUCCUCUUAUGUUCCAACGCGUUCCACCAAAAAUCUGCCAUCGCACUUGUCAAGUUUUCACAAGUCGUCUUUGUCAAUUUGAAACAGGACAUAACAUACACGAGCAUGGCCAUCGCCACAGCUUUGAGUAAGAUCUCCUUUCCACCCAUGGAUAAGGUUCUAGCAAACUAGCUAGACAACCUAGCUUUAAGUUUAUCCUUGAUAUAGUCUAAAAGCUGAAUUUUAGAUCCACUAAAACACUCAGGGAGACCUAAAUAGGUUCCAGCUCCACCUUCAUUUAGAUCCAAAUAGGUUUUUGAUCCAAUCUUUGUUAUCCUCCUCAACCAAAGCUCCAAAAGUAAUGGAUGACUUAUCAUAGUUUAUACGCUGCCCUGUAGCAUCACCAUACUCCUUGAAGAUAUUCUUGAUCACUGAGACUUCAUUUCUGUCAGCUUUGCACAUGAAUAAAGAGUCAUCAGCAAAUAAAAGAUGAUGAAUAGUAGGCCCUUCAGGAGAGAAACUGAUUCCAUUGAUAAGACUAUUUCUCUCAGCUCUCUUCAUGAGAUGAGUGAGACCCUCAGAGCACAAGACAAACAAGAAAGGAGACAGAGGAUCACCUUGCCUCAAUCCUCUUGAAGGAAUGAUGUUACCAUAUGCCUUAUCAUUGACCAAAACAGAGAAAGAUACAGAAGUAAUCGUGAACAUUAUCCACUGUAUCCAUUUCAGAUGAAAUCCCAAUGCUUCCAUCAAGGCUCUAACGUAGUUCCAUUCCACUUGGUCAAAACCUUUUGACAUGUCAGAUUUUUUGGCAAUGAAGUCCUUAGACACUUGUCUAUGAGUACGCAGGCCGUGUACCACCUCAUGAGCAAUAAGUAUGUUAUCAGAUAUCAACCUAUCGGCCACAAAUGCAGAUUGGUUAGGGGAUACAAGGUCAGACAGAAAUGGUUGUAGUCUCCUUACCAGAAUCUUUGAGAUAAUCUUGUAAAGCACUGUACAAAGGCUGAUUGGUCUUAAAUCUGACAUGUUUACAGGUUUCUUCUUUUUUGGCAGCAAACACAACUGUUUAAAGUUCCAUUCUUUUGGGAAGGAUCCAGUGAGGAAGAAUUGCUGGAUCUCAAAAGUGACUUGCCUUUCCAAUAUACACCAAUAUUUCUGAAAGAAAAAACCUGUGAAUCCGUCAGCACCAGGAGCACUAGAACUCUUGAUUGCAAAAACAGCUUCUCUUAUUUCUCUCUUUGAGACAGCGGCAGUGAGCACAACAUUCAUACCCUCCGUGACUCUAGGCUGAAAAUCCUCAAAAAGAUCAUGGAAGUUACUCUGAUUAGUGGAAGUGAAAAGGUUCUUGAAAUAAGCCUCUAUAAUAGCUCCCUUAGUCACUUCAUCUUUGUGGAGAUUGCCAUUGACAUCACAAAGUUGUUCUAUAUGCUGCUUUCCUCUGUUGUCUUUGACAAAAGCAUGGAAAAAUUCUGAAUUUUUGUCCCCACUUAAUAUCCAUUUAGCUCUGCUCUUUUGACUCCAGUAGAUUUCUUCAUCCUGAUUGGCCUUGCACAGAUCAUUUUUCAACGAGUUCAUCAAAACAAAAUUAGGGAAAGCAGAAGAAUGUUCAGCUUCCAGAGCUACCCUAGCUUGAGUGAUCCGAGAUAAAGAGUUGAAAUUGUUUUCUUACUUCCAUCUACUAAGAGCAGUUCUGCAUUUCUUCAGUUUAUCCAAAACCAGCAGAUUUCCAAUCCUUUGAUUACCAUUCCAGGCUUGACAAAUGGUUUCUUUAACAUUAGGCUGAUUGAAGAGCCUUUUAUCAAACCUGAAAUUACCUCUGUAGUCCUCCUUUGAAGUUGCAAGUCUGACCAAAACCGGUCUAUGAUCUGAUCCUCUUUUAUCCAGGAAGUCUUGGUUAGACACAGGCAAUUGUCUAUACCAAUUCUUGUUGCCAAAACAUCUGUCAAGCUUGCUUUGAAUCCAUAGAGUACCUCUCUUUCCACCCCAAGUGAAUGAGUUGCCUUUGCUUGGAAGUUCUUGCAUAUCACAGUUUUCUAGCAUGUCCUUGAAUGGUAAAAAGGAGGAGUCACCUCUCCUUGGACCUCCCAGUUUUUCCCCAUUAUGAAGAAUGGCAUUAAAAUCACCUAACAUACACUAGGGCUCCUUCCUAUUCAAACCAAUCCUUGAGAGUCUUUCCCAAACCAGUGGUCUAGAACUAUAAGCCGGAUCUCCAUAAACACAGGAGACAAAGAAGUCAACUGAACCAAAUUGAAUGUGGAAAUCAAUUAGGUUCUUAUCCGCAUAAUUGAUAUCUAUAUUUACACCUUUCUUCCACAAAAGAGCCAACCCUCCACUGAGACCAAUCGGAUUGACUGUAAAAACUCUUUCAUACCCUAACCAUUCUUGCAGGUCUACUACUACAUUACUGCAGUUCUUGGUUUCCAUCAAAAAUAUAACCUCAGGGAAAUGAGCACGUCUCAUCUCCAUGAGUCUAGGAAUCGUCAAUUCAUGAGACCGUCCUAAUCCUUGAUAAUUCUAGCUAAUUAGACUCAUUAAACAGUGGACGGUCCCUCAUUUGGGACCACCACUUUAGGGUUAAGCUUGAUUAUUUUUGUAGUGCUUUGACCCUUGUCAACUGCCUUUCUCUUCUCCUUUGUACCAGUUUCGGAUCCUGCCACAAGUCUUUGAUCCAAGGAGCUGUUGAGCAAAUCUCUUGGCUUAGACUUUCUUACAUACUUGGAUGGCCUAUUUCUUUGCUUCACUUUUUUCUGAGUAGUCCCGGAAGAGCCAGCCUCAAAGAGACCAGGUCUAUAAACCGUUGAACUAUUAGUAAAAAGUUGAGAAAGAGCAAGAAAAUUGCCAUCUCCACUGAUAGAUGAAGGGUUCACCGGUUCCAUAAGCCAAUCUCUGACUUCUCUCUGUUUCCUUAUUGUCCCCAGAUCUGAAGAAGCAUUUGGGGUACUCCUGGCACUUCUAGAUGAAGAUUCUUCUUGAUCAUAUCCAAAGACUACUCAUUUUUCUCUGGAUAAAUCAUGAUGAACAAUUGGUAAAGACUCUAGCCUGAGAACAGACUUCUGUGUGAAGGGAUUUUUUUCAGCCUCACUCACAGAUUGAAUCACUCUGUCAACCCUAAUGGAUCUUUCUUCAUCAUUUGCCACUCUGAGAUAUUAGCGCAUACCUUCCAAAACCACCUGAGCAAUUCUUGGUCUGCCUGUAUUUGGAUCCAAUCCAACCUGACUCUCUUUAAGCACUCCAAAAAGAGGAUCUGUUUCUUUUAAGACCGGAGGGGGAGAAGGUUUGUUGAUUGGAGUACCUUUUCUUCUAGCAGCAGCUUGAUCUUGUCGGGCUUUAACCAAAAUGGGACACACAUCCUUCUCAUGUGUGAGCCUUUGACAUUCAUAACAUCUCUUUUGUAUCCUUUCAUAAUGAAACUUCACUGUGGCAGUCUCACCAUUUUUCAGAUUAACAAUCUUGGAUCUCCUAAGAGGCCGCGAUACGUCAAAGAGGACUUUCACCCUGACAAAUUCCUGAACCUGUGGAAGAUCCGGGUCGAAAACAACUUCUUUAACCUCACCGAUGAGGUCACUCAAAGCAGUUAUCGCUUUGACAGUGUAAUAGUUAACCGGAAUAUUCCAAAUCUGGACCUAAAGAAACAUGUACCGUAGGUAAUCUUCCGGAGGAUUCUCGUACCAUAUGUCUACUACGAUAGUCUAUUCGUUGAAAGUGUGGACUCCUUUAGCCAGAACAUCUUCAAGAUCGUGCUUGGAAUCGAAGAUAAACUGGAACUUUUCAUUAGUUAGAGCUACUCCUUUCACUCUUCCUUCUUUCUGCCAUUUCCUUGGCAAGUUUCUUAUCAAGUGUUUCAUCUGUUGACAGUCAGGGUUUAAAACCCUCCCAAUAAGGCUGAGCUUAUUCCUUUCACAGGACAAGAAAUCCAGAAAAUCAGGCAUAUCGAAAGGCUCAUCCUUUUCCUCUAGGGACAUCUCCAUCAAGGCUCUAUCCAUGGCAGACGACAUAUCUGAGUAAACUUGUAAGCUUCUACAAACACCAAUUUCUACAAACACCAACUUCUUCUGCAGACUCAGAAGCUCCGAAACCAAAUUCUGAUUACUGCUAACCCGAACCCAGAAACUCUGAAAACCAACUCUUCCACAAACCUAGAAGCUCUGAAACCAAACUCUGAUGACUUCUAUCCCGAGCCCAGAACCCCUGAAACCAAACUCUUCACAAACCCAGAAGCUUACGAACAAUCACGGACGCUAACCUCUGAAACCAAACUUCUUUCACAAUCCCAGAACCUCUGAAAUCACUACUACGCAAACCCAGAAAAUCAGAAACCACACUUCUUCGAAAACUAACUUUUGCAAACGCUUGUUACACGAACUUCUCUGGAGACAAGACUCUCUGAAACACAGAAAUUUCUCAGAACCAAGACCCAGAUUUCGCAAACCCAGAACACGGAGCACCAACUUCUUCGGUCACGAACCUUUCUGAACCCAAACUUCUUCGAAAACUAACCUUUCAGAACACUACUUUCACCGACCAAGAGGAAGCUCAGAUCGAACCGUCUCCAACUAGAGAAAAUCAAAAUCGGAGAAAAGAGUUAACCGUCGGAAUCGAUGAAACGAGGCUGAGAAGGAGCAAAAACCUUGAUUGAAACAGUAAAUAACGGCUGAGGGAAAAUGAAUUUCCAGUCUAAAGCUCUAUUCAACCCUAAUGAAAGACACUUGGAGAGAAAGAGGGUUCUGAGCCUAAAAGAGGGAAACUUUUUGAUGGCACCAAAACAGAUGAUACUUCUUUUUUUUGAAAGAUUAGUAUUAGUAGUAGUAAUUCCUUCUACAAAAUAUUUUUUUUACUAAUGUCAUAUUUUUCACUAACUUGCUAUGCUGUAUAUAAUAUAUAAUAAUUUAUAAACAAAAAAUUUCAUUUCAGUUAAUUAAAAAAAUAAAAUAUUUUCAGUUUUGUUUCAUAUAAAACACUUAAGUUUUUAGUAUUUUUGUUUUAAUAUUAUGUUGUACCACAAAAAAGUAUUAUUGUUUUUUGAGUUUUAACAUGACUUGAUAUGCUAAAGAACAUUUCUCGUCACAUAUGGAAUUUUAUUUAGGUUUGAUUAUAGAUAUUUAAUCCAACUGAAUUUUAUUUUCUCUCACAUAAAUCCAAAUUUAAAAAACGUUGGCAUUUUUGUUUCUCUAUCGUAACUACAAGACAUUUAAUCGAUUGAUAGCAAGAGAAAUAAGCUUCAACGGACUUAACAAAUUGUUGUCUUUAGGAAUGCAAUAUAUAUAUAUAUAUAUUCCAUUAUGGAUAGAGAAGGAUUUGCAAUACAAAAGAUGCAUACAUGUAAAGAAAACUAUAAAGUUAUACAAUUAGAGGCACAAAUAGUUAUAUUUGGUGAUAAAGAAAAAGAACCCAUCUACUAACAGAAAACAGUAAUACAAGCAGCUGUGGUAAAAUUUGUUUGUAAGCUUAGGGAAUGAAGUUAGAAAAUAGAGUAAAAGAUAUAUAUAUAUAUAUAUAUAUAUAUACAGCCAAAAAAUUCAAAAUCAAAGAUAUUACAAAAUAGAGAGAUGUUGAAGACAACGUAAAAAUUCAAAAUCAAAGAUAUUACAAAAUAGAGAGAUGUUGAAGACAACGUAAUUCAGUAGCAAAUUUUUAUGUACAUCAGCGUUUUUAGCACACAAUUUUCGCAACCCAAUUUUGCGUGGUUAAACAUAAGCAAAAUCGGAUAUCCUUAUCAUCUCUCUCGCUAAGAAAAGAAGUAAGAACUAUAGAAGAUGGGAUUGUUCUCCCACAAGAUUUCCAGAGAUGAUCUGAAACCAGGCGAUCAUUUCUCCUAAUGUCACGAACUCACGUUGUUUGUUCUCUAUACUUAACCAUCGCAACAUCAUUACUUUGAUCAUCGACAAACCAACUUUUUAAAAAAAUCUGAUAAAGUUCAACCUUUUCAGUUUACAACUAUAACUAAAAGAGAAAUUGGAAAUAUCACUAAGAGAUAUGACUUAUAGCAUCUCAUAUUCUACUAAAAUUUAAAUCUCUAUAUAAAAGUGAAGAAUACCUUAAAUACAAGACCAAAGAGUGUGCACGAUAGCAAUGUCAAAGAUGUGGCUUCUCAAAUCAGGGAAAAUCACUAAACAACGACCAGCGACUAGAUUAGAGGAGCCCAAAAAUGGAGAACUUAAUUAAAGUAUAAUAAUUUGUUUUGUGGAGAACUUGAUAAAACAAAGAGAGAUAAGAGAUAGAGAUAGAACAGAGUUAUGAAACUUAUAUAGUAAUUUACUCGACAGCUUUACAUUUACACAAGACUAACACUUGUAUAGUAAUUUACAUGAACAAACGUGACUGUUGGUAAUGUUCGUAUGACUGUUCGUAAUGUACGUAACUGGUCAUAACUACCCAUUUGGUAAGUUGCGACUAACACACAAAAAUCUUCAUUUUACAUACACAUAAGAGAUACUCUGAAUUUGUGAAUCAGCAUUCAGCAAUGAUUAUGUAAAAAAAAAAAGUUAUUAGAGAAAAAGGAAAAUUUCAAUAAGAAAUUGAAGGGUUAAGUGAGAACCAUCGUGGUUGUCGUAUAAUUGUCAACAACAUUGAAAUUUUAUCAUAACUAACAAUCAAUCAAUCCAAGUUUUUUUGGAACACUGGUAAGAUAUAUCUCCGGAGAUACUCAAUGAUUUAGACAACGAUGGUUAGAAAAAUCAGAAAAGUAUCAAUAACACCUCACAAAUAAAUCGAACCAAAAACAGAUCCGUUAAUAAUAAGAUUCUUGAUAACAAAUGACAGUAUGUUUAAGACUCUUCUCAAUUCAAGGUCAGUGCUCAUCUUCUUAAUUAAAAUCCGCUAAAGGUAUAGGCGUAUAGCAUGUAACAGACAAGAAUCCUACAGGUACACCAUCAGCUUCAAGUGUACAACAAGCUACUUCAUUUUUUGCAUAAAGGCCAAAGAAGAUUUAAGAAUCUGUCUAUUUGUAUAAUGCUUUGAUGUCAAAGAGAGAAGUAUUGAUGUUAAUAUGGGCUAAUCCAGCCCAUUUAGACCCACCCCAUUUAAAACAUAUCCCAUUUAAGUUUACACUCCAUUUAUCCUCCCUAUUUAAACCAAUUUAAAUUUUCUUUACCCAUUUAAACCCAUUUAGACCCAUAUAACAUUGUUUUGUUCUAAACAAUAUAAUAUAAUCAAUAAUUAUUUUAAUUGAUUAUUUAAAAUUUACAUAUUAUUUCAUUAAAUAUAAUUGAUAAAUAAUGAUAUAACUUUUUUUAUUAUUUUGUUGAAGAAUAAUAUAGUUUAAAAAAAACGAAAUUUUGCGGUUUUGGCUGAAAAACCACGGAUUUACGAUUUUGGCGGGAAAACGUCAUUUUAUAGUAUGAUAUUUUUGGUGAUAAAACGCAAUUUUACGAUUUUGGCGGGAAAAUGCGGGUUUACGGUUUUGGCGGGAAAAUGCCAUUUUCCGCAAAAAUUGCAAAUCCGCGUUUUUCCGCCAAAACCGUAAACCUGCGUUUUCCCGCCAAAACCGUAAACUCACGUUUUUCCGCCAAAACCAUAAAUUCACAUUUUCCCGCAAAAAUCACAAAAUUGCGUUUUAUCACCAAAAAUUAUUUUCCCAUAAAAUAGCAUUUUCCACCAAAACCUUAAAUCCAUUUUUUUCCGCCAAAACCGUAAACCCGCGUUUUUCCGCCAACACCGUAAACCCGCGUUUUCCCGCCAAAACCGUAAACCCGCGUUUUCCGCCAAAACCGUAAACUCGCAAUUUCCCGCCAAAAUCGCAAAUCCGCGUUUUUCCGCCAAAACCGUAAACCCGAGUUUUCCCGCCAAAACCGUAAACUCGCGUUUUUCCGCCUAAACCAUAAAUUCACAUUUUCCCGCCAAAAUCGCAAAUCCGCGUUUUCCCGCCAAAACCGUAAAUCUGCGUUUUCUCGCGAAAACGGCAAACCCGUGUUUUUCCCGCCAAAACCGUAAACCCGCGUUUUCCGCCAAAACCGUAAACUUACGUUUUUCCGCCAAAAUCGCAAAUCCGUGUUUUUCCGCCAAAACCAUAAACCUGCGUUUUCCCGCCAAAACCAUAAACUCGCAUUUUUCCGCCAAAACCAUAAAUUCACAUUUUUCCUCCAAAAUCGCAAAUCCGCGUUUUACCGCCAAAACCGUAAAUCUGCAUUUUCCCGCCAAAACCGCAAACCCGUGUUUUUUCCCGCCAAAACCGUAAACCCACGUUUUUCCGCCAAAACUGUAAACUUGCGUUUUUCUGGCAAAACCGUAAACCCGUGUUUUCCCGCCAUAAUCGCAUAACCAUGUUAUAGGAAACGUGGUUUUACGUUUUCUUUUAAAUAUUUAAAUUAAUAAUUAAAUUUAAGUAGAAUAUUAGUUUUAAAUAUAUUUAAUAUUUUGCUCUUUUAUAUUAGUUAUUGAAAUAUUAACAUUUUUAAUAAAAAUAACUAAUAUAAAAUAAAACAUAAAUGGGCUUAAAUGAGUACCCAUUUAUUUUUGGGAAACCUCAUUUAAUAAAUGAGUUUAAUUGGGAUAACCCAUUUAACACAUUUAACAUUUUUCUCUAAAUAGGUUUAAAUGGGCUAAUUUUUUUUGUACAUACCCAUUUAUUAAAUUAUUAAAUGGGAGUUUCAUGCCCAAUUAACAUCACUAGAGAGAAGACACUAAUCAAAAUCAUUCACUAACAAUAACAUAAAACGCUGAGAAUACGUAAAUCUGAUCAACGAAUUUACUAAGCUUAAAUAUACGUAAAUCUGAUAAAGAGUUGCGGGAUGAGUGAACGGAUGUUUAUAAAUGGGGGAUUCUCUGUUAUAAUGUGAAAACAAAUGUGAUUCAAUAAAUUGGAAAAAAACCAAAUAGGAAAUUAAACUGUUGAGAGGUGUGACGAUGAUAACGUUUCUUCUUCCUAUCAGUUUCAGCGCCGUCGUGAUGCUGGCUACCACCACCGUCACCGCCGCUUCCAUUACCACUUCCGCCGACGACUGCAACUUAUGUUUUACCGUCAAACAGUAAAACAGUCUUUAAUCGCUAUGUGGCUAACAACUACUUCUCUUUACUUUCACCCAACCACAAACUACUAAUGGACCAUUACACGGUUACACCACUGCACCAAUUUAUUUUACCCAAAUUUCAUGUUUGUGUAAAUGCAUUCAUAUGAAGAUAUAAUGAACUACUUUUCUAACGCAUUACUCUGAGAAAAAGAUUUGAAGAAGAAUUUCAUAGCUUACAUCGAGUAGUGAAUAAGUAUUGGACAUUGCAUCCUUCAGUUUACCAACCUGCAUGAUAAAAAGUGACAUCCUAUUAUAAGAAGUUGCUCUCGGACACGGUGUAAAUAAAUUUCAAUGGUUCCUGAAGAAUCUAUGUAUAUAGCAAACUCUAGGAUUGGAAAAAUGUGUAGUGGCAACAACAUUACCUUGGUACUAAGAUAUGUCGUUGUUAUUGGGUAAGAUGACCAAAAAUGUCUCAGUAAUUCUUGUAUUGAUGUCCAGUGCUGCAUAAGAAAGAAAAAGCAAAAGGUAUUGAUGCAUUUGAGGGGACAACAGAAUCCAUCGGCAUUAUUAACCAAAUCACAGUAAUCAGUAUAUAUUGAGCUGCUUGUUACUUAGGACACUGGAGGAUGUCUGUAUAACUUCAUCCUUAGUGGACUUUGGUAAUCUGUCCAGAAAGCUCUCUCGCGGGUUCUUCCCAACAAUAUUUUUGGCAGUUGAGAUAGUUCGGGUCAACGAACUGAAAACCUGGAUAGGGUUUAGCAAUAUUAAGCUCAGGGAACAAAGCAAUAAGCCAUGGUUUCUUUAGGCAGCAUGCAUUUUAUAUUGAGAUAGAAUAGCACCUCAAAGGAAACUUCAGGUUUAAUCAAAGGAUCACUUAAUCCCGUCAUUCUAUUCUCCAAAAUGGAUUCUUUUAGUAAUCCAUAAGCUUCAUGGACAUUUCUCUUUGACGCCUUUGCUCCUCUGGGUUCACUGAGGAUGUUUCCUUGUUGAGAUUCAAAGUAAUCACGAGGGUCUUGAUUCCAAACAAGAGAAGGUAAGAGGAUUUACGCACCAUCUAUCAUCAUCGACAGUGUAAGCCUUUUAAUCACAGAAAGCCAAACCUUGAUAGAGAGUGGUGCUAAUGGGAAGUUUUGUGGUGCUUGAAGAUCCUCCAUUUCUGUUGCAAGGGACAUUCUCUCCAACCUCUCCUGAUUAGCGUCCUUGGUGAUUUCACCAUCAGCUUUGCUUACUACCAGGGGUAAUAGACAUGUGGAUACCUAGGUUAGAUGAAUAUGAAUUGCAGAAUUGGCCAUUGAUCAGCAUAGAAAAAGAAAAAGAAAAGUAGAGCAUAUCAGAAUGAAACAGCAAACCUUGUUUCGCCCGUGUGAGAGCCUCUGCAACAAUUCUCGUACCUUCAGACUCAACAUCUACUUUCCAGUAUAAAAGAAUAAGUGAGUAUCAUUGUAUACUAACUUUACCACCAAGAACUAAAAGCAGAGGGCCAAAAUACAUGGUUAUCCCUCAUGAACUAUCUGUUGGGAAGUCAUUUGAUGGCUAUUUCUUAGACUGCUAUACAAAACACUAGAUGAAACAAUCAGAGUUAUAAGUGUUUACCGAUGCAUCUUCCUUCCAAUACAACAGCAGCAUGACGAUUAAGAUCUUGUAAAAGUGACCUCCUAAGCUGGUCGUUCAGUGGUUCAACAACGUCAUUGGUGCCAUAGCGCUGGAUCCCAUGGUCCUGUGUGACAGGAAAUUUAACUAAGCACAAUAUAUGAAGAUAUGAUCCAGCAGAAUGUAAAUAAGCUUUCAACCAUGUAGAAAGAGCACAAUGUAUUAAGAUCACCAUUUUCUAGAUAUAUUUUUGGCUUUAGAAAUUGAAUUCCAGGUGGUGCUUUAUCUCCCACGAGGACCAUUUUCUAGAUAUUAGUGUAAGCUAAUGGAGCUUACUGAUGAAAUCACGGCAAGCAUGCAUGUUGGGAUCAUUUUCAAACUCAAAGAUAUGACGCCUUCCUGUAAUCAAAGUCGAGGAAACUUCAAUGAUACACGGAUUAUAGCUUCAAAAUUCACAUAACAAGACUUUUGUAAGAAAAAAACCUUCUUUGGUAUAUUUCUGACCUGAUAAAUUUAACAUGGCACAAUGGAAAUUACAGGCAACACAUCGUCUACUAUCCAAUAAUCAUUCUGAGAAAAUUAGUCGUGAUGAAACUGAUUAACAAAUAUGACCAAUUUGGGAAAUCAAACCCUUUUACUUUUGAUGUUGUGAGUCUGAACCAUAAGCUUCAAAUCUGAUACCAAAGAGUUCAAAGUAUUCUUACUAUUUUGAGGGAUCUAAGAGUUGUUGGAUCAUUCACAGACCUCUUAUAUUUGACUUGCUUCUCCAUUGAUAUAUGCCCAAGGUUCCAAAAGCGCGUUAAAAUUGGUCGAUCAAUUAAGCUCGUGAGUCACUUUGACUGUGUCAGCAAGAAGACAGAACCAGAACCAUGUAUCCCUGUUUCUUUCGUAAAGAAGCUUCCUUGUAAUUCAAUGAAACGCAUCGUUCAGGAUCAUAAUUAACUCCAAAGAAGAAUACACUGUUUGUUCUUCCCCAAAUCAGUUACAAAAAUUGUAACCUAAAAUUCGAUCUUAACCCAUAGUAAAGGAAAGAGUCAAAAGUUCUAUUCAAAGAAAGAACAAAAGGAAAGAGUUUAAAGAAAGAGUAAUUCAAAGUAGGGUUGUUAGAGGGGUUAGAGGUGUGGUUGAUGUCAGAUCAAUCAUGUAAGAACAUCGACAUUGCAACUUCUCAGGUUUCUUGGGCAAUGGGAGAAGAUGAUAGCAUAGUUCACAUCUGAUGGAGGGAGCUUCGGCUAUCUGACUUUUGGGUCUGUUUCCUAGAUAUUUGCGCAAGUACUUCUCUCGUAUGUGCAAAUUCCCUUCUUCCCUAAGUGGACCCCUUCCCGACGCUAGAUCUCCCCACUCCCAAAUAAUUUUUGACGUAAUCUUUAACAUUAGAUUAGAGCUUCGUAUAAUCUGGGCAAGCAUAACGUUGUGGCCGCGUGUUCUUAAAUGGUCAACUAUGUCUUGAUAGUCACCGUCUCCUGCCACUAGUAAAAUGUUGGCUGGAUCUGGAGUAUCCAAAGCCCAUAUAGCCAUCCUUAAGACAAGUUUGGUGUCUGUAGCAUUCAAUUUAUCAGAAACACAAAAACAUAUUGAUUAAUUUUCUUUCAAGAUAAAUAUUUUUUCAAAACUUAAUAAAUUUACCUGAGAAAACCUGAGUUACUCUAAUGCCAGAGGAUCGCAGUUGUUGUGUAACAAAGUCUAGUAGGGGCUUGCCGACGGCUUCGAUUGUUACUGGGCCCAAAAACUUUGCCGAGGCCAGGCCCUUGGAAAUAUUACGAGCAAUAUGUGUCGGUUUGACAAGUUUGGGGAUUUGCCAAUUAUCAGUACCCAAAAUCACAAGAGUUUUGGCGAGGACAUAGCGAUUUUCAACUUCCACCUUUAAAAUUAAAAAAUGCAAGUUUAUAAAUUUAAAAACUAAUUCUCUUUUAUUUUCUCAAUGUUUUAUUAGAAAUCCUUAUAUAUAUAUUAAAAGUUUAUAUAUAUAUAUAUAUAUUUAUUAUAAGCUUAUAAAUAUUAAUAUCAAUAUUAAUAUUAGGUAUAUAAAAUAUUAAUAUUCCUGGAUUGAAACCAAAUAUAUACCUAAUUAAAAUAUAAAUACUUCUGUGAAGAAGUUGUAAGAAAUUUUCUACGUCUUUAUUAGGGGAUUAAAGGCCUAUCUGGACAUUUUCUGGUGUUGGACCGCCAAUUAUACCAUCAAAUAAUUGCCGUGUUUGAUAAGCCAGAUACGGAAAGGUGGCUGAAAAGUAAACAACCAAAAUACUUAGCUUGAUAAAAGUUAACAGAAAUUUACUUUUUCAAUACCACUCUUUUAUAAAUGGCGAGUAUUACUAAUAAAGCAUUGAGAAGAUAAAAGAUAAUUAGUUUUCAGAUUUACAAAUUUCUGUAUUGUUUUUUUGUCAACCACACAUUCAUUAAAAUUUCUGUAUUUUUUAAAUUUCUGUUUUUAAUUUUAAAGGCGGAAGAGGAAGAUCUCUAUGUGUGUACCAAAAAAAUGUUGUGUUUUUGGAUACCAACAAUUGCGAUAUCCCAAAACUUGUCCGUCCAAAAGUUGCAUUGAAUUUUUGUAAAGUUCUUGCCAAAAAAUUCACAAAUUUGGAGAUAAGAUUAAUAAAACGAAGAGUGAGUGAGAAGUGUGUGUGUGUGUACAGAUUCCUAAGGAGAAGGCAAAAGCGGGAUCGGUGGGGGAGAGUGAGAGGAGAAGAGAAGCGGCGGAGGAGAGAAGAAUGGUGUCUCGACGAGAGAUGAUAAUGCGCGGCGGGUGGUCGGAGGUUUGUGCGGCGGCGAUUAGUGGUGGUUGAGAAAUUGGGAUAAGACGAGCCAUGGCUUAACAUAAACUAUCUAAGAUAGGAACAAAUUCUCAGGGGCUCCUCCAGCUCCCAAACUUUUCUCAAUUGCUCCUCUUAUAAAAUAUAAUUUAGUUUUGAUUUUCUUAAAUUCGAAAAAGUAGACAUUUGACCACUUAACCCUUCAAAAUAUAAUAUCACAUAUUUACAACCCAACCAAGCUAAUUGGGUUAAAAAUACCCAAACCCUUUCUUACUGGGUCGAUUCCAAUUUAAACGGGUAAAACAGUUCAUUCUUUGGAGAAAAAUCCUACGACGGCAACAUUAGUUUAUCCCUUUCGUGUCUCUUCUAUUUCUUCAGAGUCGAUCUUGGUAUAACUACAGACAACUACGUUAUUGGACAAGGUAAAAUCGAGUUUUUAUUUUGGGUUUUGCGAUUAAAAUCGAGUGAAAGUCCGCGAGUAUUGAAAUUGAUUGUUCGUUAUGUUUGUUUAGAGUCCGAAGAGAUGGAGAAUGUUAGUGGUAGUUGAAUCGAUUGAAAUAUUGAAUGGAAGUGCUAAUGUAAAUGAUUUUGUUUGUAGGUUUAUGGAAGGGAGUUAUGCCUCGAACAAAGAACGCAAAUGUAUCUUUAACUCCGCCAGAAGCCAAUCUUGAAGAAGUACCACCGCCGGCGGUAGUGGAAUCUGAAGCAAUAGAUUCAAUCUCUAAUGGGGUUGCAACGGUAAGAUCUAUAAAAUUUGGACAACUCGUAGAACUAGGUAUAAGUUUGUUGCUUUUGUCUCUUAGAAAUUUCUGAAACUAAAAAGUAAAACUAUGAAUAACUAGGUAUAACUAACGUGUUUUUAUAACUUAUAAAUAUUUGAAACUAAAAGAUAAAACUAUGAAUAACUAGGUAUAACUAUGCUGCUUUUGCUUUUAUAACUUAGAAAUAAAUGAAACUAAAAGGUAAAACUAUAAAUAACUUGGUAUAACUAUUCUGUUUUUCUAACUUCGAAGUUUUAAAACUAAAAGGUACAACUUUGUAUAACUUGGUCCAACUUGAUCUUGAUUGUAGGAUUCUAAUGAGGAAACCGAAACUCUACAACCUCUUAAAAUGUACUUCAAUCCGAGUGAGUAUACAAAGUCAUUCAAGAUUUCAACAAAGUGCUAUAUUCAUAAGGGAGUGAGCUUAUUGGAGACUCAUCUUAAAGGCAAGGAGUUGAAAUGGUUCAGAGAACACCCAUUGUUCCGACACUUCUUCCACAUGCACAGGGACGCAAAUCAUAAGUUGAUGGGUAUGUUGUUGUUAUUUCUUUGCACAACAUGUUUAGAGAAGAAGAGGGAAGUUUGGUUUAUCGUCAAUGGGGUUCCGAUCCGCUAUUCUCUCAAAGAAUUUGCACUCGUGUUAGGAUUAUAUUGUCACCAAUUUCCGAAUUCCUGUGAAACCAAGGGAUGUAUGGAGUUUGUUGGCAGGAUAUUUGGACCCAGAGCAACAAUAAAAUAUCAAGAUGUGGAGACAAAGUUACUAUCAUUGAAGAAACCUUUUGAUGAUCGUCUGAGAGUAGUUGUGCUCUACUUCUUAAGCAACUUCAUCGUUAAAAUUUAUUUGGUUGUUAUUUUAUUUUGGUAUAACUCCGUCGGUUUUAAAAAACUAGGUACAACUAUGUGAUCAUAAAUGGUUAUUGUUUUAUUUUGGUAUUAUUUUGUAAAACUAGGUACAAUUGUGUGAAUGACAACUAUGUACAAAUGCUUUAUUUUUGUUAAACUAGGUAAAACUAUGUACGUUUGUUCAUCUUGGUAUGGUAAAGGGGCUGAAAUGAUAUUUGGGAAAAAAGUUUGAGGGAAAUUAAAAGGGUGAAAAGAAAAAAAAAUUGGGUUAUUUCGAAAAUUUUGAAUAUUUUGUAGGGAAAUUCGAAUAAAUAAAAAAACUGGAUAUUUGUGGCAAAUAACACGUGAUCCACAUGGCGCCGUCAUUUUUACAGUCAAGGCUCCGUCAUUUGUACACGUGGCGCCGUCAUUUGUACACAUGACGCAGUCAAAUAUACACAGUUUUUCCAAGUUUACAAGUUGUACUCGCAAACACACAGUUGUAUUUUUGGGGUUUUACUUUAUAAUUAGUAUUCUUUGAAAAAUAUUAAUUUUUAUUAGUUGUCCACAAGAUUUUAUGUAUAUGAGGUAAAUUCCAAACAUAUUCAUUCAAUAAUAUGUGUAAAAUGUUAAAUUUUCAGACUUUUGACAUUCACCAUGGAGAUUCAAAAGAAAGACAUCUUAGAAGUAUAAGGACUUUCAUGUAGAGAACUAAAAUGUGUAAAGAUUUUUGUAAAUUUUAUUUAACAAAUUUUGAUUACAAACCACUAAUUUGAUUAUGUAACACUAAGUUGUCUAUUUCUUUAUAAAAAGAAUUAUGAUAUAAUUUUGAAUUUAUGAAGAUUUGUUAAUUUCUUCGUAGUUAUACCGAACCUAGUUUAACCAAGUUUUACAAAACCAGAGAAUACACAAAAACACGAAAUCAGAGACAUAUAUAGUUGUACCAUUACGAAACCAAGUUUAACCAAGUUUUACAAAAACCAGAGAAUACAUAUUCAGAUUUGCUCAUGUCUCAACUAAAUAUUGCACUUCAUGCUUGCUUUCAAAUUCUUGACCUAUUACUAGAUCAAGACCAUCUUCGCAUGGAUCUUUAAAUUUAGAAACUUGGCUAGCACGUGGAAUCUCAACAUAUUCACCAAUACCAUCAUUCUCCAUACUCAUAUCGACAGUGUUAUCAACACCAUUUUCCACAUAUCUGAUAACAAUAUUUUCUAGUGGCUCCAAAGGCUCCGAAAGUUGUUCUGCUAGUGGCUUGUCUGCGUAAAGAGCUACGACAUCAACAUUAGCUCUAUCAUUAUCUUCUCCAUUGAUGAUGUCCUAAACGAUAGACCGUACAAGCCAGCUAUCCUUGGAUUCCAUUGAUAAGUAUCUCCGGUUUUUGAAUAAUAUCCAUCAUAAUCAAAAUGUAUGUUUAUUGGAAGGUUGCUCAUUCUCCUGAAAAAAAAAAAAUACAUUAACAGUUAUACCAAAAUUACCAGUUAUACCAAAAUUACCAGUUAUACCACUUCUAACAGUAAUCUCAAAAAUACCAGAUUUACUACUUCAAAUAGUUAUACCACGUUUCUCAGUUAUACCCAGGUUUUCUCAAAAAUACCAGAUAUACUACUUCAAAUAGUUAUACCACGUUUCUGAGUUAUACCCAUAUUUUCUCAAAAAUACCAGAUAAACUAUUUCAAACAGUUAUACCACUUUUUUCUGUUAUACCCAGGUUUACAUCUAGGAAGCACGGAAGCUUCGUCGAAGGUCCGCUUCCCGCUUCGGAAUCUUAUUCGGAAUCGGAAGCUCUUGGAAGCUUUUGGAAUCUCGCUUCCAUAGCGCUUCCAAAAAAUUCACUUUAGAAGCUCGUUGGAAGCUUACGAUUCCAUUUUGGAAGCUUACGAUUCCAUUUUGGAAGCUUGCGUGUCACAUAUUAAUUAGAAACAUGAAAUUAUUUUUUAUAGUAUUUUUUACAAUUAAAAGAAACCAAAACUAAUUUUGCAAUUAAAAGUUUUGCAUACUAAUUUUUGUAUAUUUUUUUUUAAAAGAUCGUGCUUAACAAAAUAGCCACGACAUAUAUUAUUUAUUUGGAAAAUGUUGGAAUGAUUAAUUGAAUUAAAUAAACUUUGAGAAACUUGAAUUUGAUGAUGUGUUAUCGAUAAAAUGGAAUUUGAAACCAUUUUAUUGGAUGAAAUUAAGAAAAUGAGAGUGAAGAUAGUGAUCUUAAAUUUUGACUUUGAACUAUUUUAUUUUUAUUUAUUGUAAAAAUAAAUUAUUUGGUUUUUCUGUAGUUGAAGUAUUUAAAAUUUAUGUGGUUAAUAUAAUGCUUAAUGUUUUAUUAUAUAUAUAUAUAUAUAUUAAUUUCUAUAUACGCUUCCAACACGUACCCACUUUCUAAAAUUUCUAAAAAAAUCGCUUCCGCGUUUCCAAACGCUUCGCUUCCGCGUACCCGCUUCUGAUUUCAUGCAACCUAGGUUUACAUGUUCUACUCUAUUUGCAAAUCGUUUCUCGGACCAAAAACACUAAUCUACCUACAAUUAACAACGAAUCAACCACUACAGUCCAUUAAAGUGUCUUAAUCGACCUAGGAUACAUAGUUACCAACACAAUGUCCAUUAUUUACCAACACCAAUUGAAAACCCUAUCAAAUCUAAUAGAAAUCAUCAAAUUUCAAAUACAAUACCAAAAACCACUAAAGACUCGAUGUUAGAAGUGGAAGAAGAGAAUAGGAACUGACCUAGAGGUGAAGAACGAUGACGAUGUGGUGGAAGAACGACGACGAGGUGAAGACGAUGACGAUGUGGUGGUUUUGAAUUUUUGAUUGGAUUUGUCCCGAUGAAUACAUGAGCUUGUUUGUGAUUGGUCGGAAAUCUCUUUGUUUUGAUUGGUCGAAAAUCUCUCUCUUUUGAUUGGUCUGUUUAGUAAGGGCAAUCAUGGGUUUUAAACUUUCAUUAAGAGUGUAAGAGUAUGACAGAAUUUUGGAGAGUAGAUAGAUUAGGAGGUCAUGCUUGAGGAGCUCCAGAGAUUAGUCUCCUAAGAUAUGUGUGUACCCGCCCAUGUGGUAUUUAUAGGAAAUGUUAAAAUUGGUUUAAUUAAUUGUGAGGAUUAAGUUGUCGAAAACGACUUAUAUUGUGAAACAAAAAAAUUUAUCCAAAAUGACUUAGAUUAUGAAACAGAGGGAGUAAUAAAAUUUAAAACUAAAAUCUAAAAUCCAAAAACUAAAAACCAAAUCCAAAAUCUAAAUAAAAAAAACAGCAUCCACUCAUGGCCAAAGUGAAUAAAAUGAGAUCUUUGGGCAGGCAAAUGAUUUCUUAACCAGCAGGAAGUUCGGCAGUUAUAUAGUUUCUUAGGAAUGGACAGAGCUUAAAAGAUUACAAAUGAGGAAAUCACAUGAAUUACAUUAAUCCUUUUAGACAGAAACAUCAUAACAUUUCAAAUACUUAUAAUUUAUUCGUUUUUACAUUUUUUGGUAAAGAAUGAGAUAAAAUUCGAUUAAUCCAAUGAAUGAAAGAGUGUAGUGACUGUUGCAGGCACACUCGAGCAAAGCAAUAAAGAAAAAUUUGGAUUUUAAGUUGAUGGAAAAGUUUGUUUAGAAACCCAUUAAUUAACUUCUACUAAAUUGCAUAACUACCCCGUUUAUUCUUUGUGUUUUAAGUUGGAUUGCACAUUUGAGUACACGAGUCGGGUUCAGGUCGUUUAAAAUUUUCAAAACCUAUAAAUACCCGAAAUUUUUACCCAAUUAUCCGAAAUUUUACCCGAUAAUCGAAAAUCUUACAUAAUUGUCCAAUAUAAGUAAAACUUCUAUGUGUGUAAGCAUAUGUAAUUUCAAGUACUUGGAUAAUAUCCGGGUCCGAUAUGAUAUCCACGGACACGGUAUUACUACAUAAGACCCGAUAAGGUAAAUUGAUUAUAACCCGACUCAAACCGGAUUUUUUGGGUCGGUUCCGGUUUUGGUUUUCGGUUGCGGUUUUUUGCCCAGGUCUAUUUUAGUCUUUCAAUAGUCUUAGGAAUUCUUGUGGAAAACCAAAUCUUACUUCAAUUGCUUUUGUGGAAUUGUUGAGAAAUUGAUUGAUGAGUAGUGAUAGCAGUCUCACUACUAGGUCUGGGCAUAAUACCCGAAUCCGAAGAACCGAACCGAACCGAAUCCGAUCCGAACCCGAACCCGAAGUUUUAAAAUAUCCGAACGGGUUCUAAACUUCACAACCCGAAAACCCGAACCCGAACUCGAACCCGAACAAGUACCCGAUUAUACCCAAAAUAUAAGUACAUAGUUAUAAUAUAUUAGUAAUAUUUAUACUUGUAAUAACUUAAGUGCCUAAAUUAUUCGGAUGUUAAGAUAUUUUCGGGUUUUUUAGCUACUUUGGGUUAUAUUCGGGUUAAAAUACUUGGGUUUUAUAGAUUUUUUGAGUAUUUUUCAAUACUUUGCAUAGAUUCGGAUACAAAAAUUUUAAUAUUUGGAUACUUCGGGUAAACCCGAAUCCAAACCCGAAAUACCCGAUCCAAACCCGACCCGAACCCGAAGUUUUAAAAUACCCGAACGGGUCUUAGUUUUCUAAACCCGAAAAACCCGACCCGAAUAUCCGAACGCCUAGGCCUACCCAAAUCCAUUCACGUGACCAAGUUAAUUUCCGGUUUAGUAAUUAACCAACAAUCUAAUAACCCAAACAUUGAACAGAGCUAUCGUCUUCUUCAACUUAAACCAUAACUCAAUUCUACGUGACUUACUACAACAUUUGACGUCACAGUUCACGUACUCAUGAGUCAAGUUUCGGUUAUGGACUUUGAUUUCACAAGAGAAUUUUGGUUUGGAUCGGUUUAGGCUUUGGCUCAAUAAUCCAACAACACACAAACAACACAACAGACACGAGAUAAGGUUUUGACCUAUUACCUUUCUCGCGCUUUCUCAACGGAUCUCCUCUACGAUCUGCUUAACGGCUCGAACGGCGAAGUGGCACAGAUCUACGAUGGUCCAAGCCACUAGUUAGAUUGGUCCAACAAUCUAAAACAAAAAUAGAGAAUCAAAUCCAAAAUUGUCUCACGGGUGAUACCUCUUUGGUGAAGACUAUCCACACGGUGGCUCUUCUUGAACACCACGACAAUCUUCGGUGGCUCGAGUGGGACUGCGGUGCCUCACAAACAAGAUUUGAGUUAGGGCUGUAUUGAAUUCUCAUCAUCAGAGAAUCAAGAUUGAAGAAGAAGAGAGCUUAACGAACGUUUAACAAACUUCAUUAUUAUAAAAUGUUGUUACAAAGCUUAAACUAAAACUAAUGAUGAGAAUAAGCUUAACCAGAGUUAAACCAAGAAUACAUUAAACCAAGAUGUAGUUAACCAGAGUUAACCAUUCAAUAACCGGUCCAUAUAUCAUCUGUAAUACGCCCCUCUCAAGUCUUUAUCUUCGAACUUGUUUGGUUUGGAAGGUAAACACUUGACAAUGACAUUUGUUGAAGCAAAUGAUGAAAAAAACCAGGAUGCAGAGCUUUAGUCAAAAUAUCUGCAUGUUGAUUCUCUGUAGGAACGUGCAACGCCUUUAAGUUGCCAGCUUUAAUCUGAUCUCUCACAAUGUGACAAUCUAUUUUUAUAUGCUUUGUGCGUUCGUGAAAGACCGGAUUCAUAGAAAUGUGCAACGCUGAUUUAUUGUCACAAAACAGUUUUGUAGGGCAACUCACUGUGAUAUGAAGAUCCUUGAGCAACUGUUGAAGCCAAAUGAUUUCACAAGUGGCUUGAGCCAUACUCCUAUACUCUGACUCAGUGCUACUCCGACUAGCAACAGCUUGUUUCUUUGAUUUCCAAGAGAUCAAGGAAGAACCAAUGUAUACACAGUACCCUGAAACUGAUCUCCUAGUAUCUUUACAUGCAGCCGAGUCAGCAUCCGAGAAAGCAUUCAAACAGAGUUCUGAGUCAACUGAAUACAUCAGUCCUUGUCCUGGAUUUGAUUUUAUAUACCUGAGUACCUUAUGUGCAGCUUGGAGAUGUAUAUCAGAUGGAGCAGAAAUGAACUGACUCAACUGAUGAACUACAAAUGUAAUAUCUGGCCUUGUGAUUGUAAGAUACAAUAACCUUCCAAUAAGCUCACGGUAAGAAGUAGGAUUUGGUAAUGGUACUCCCAUGUCUUUAGUCAGAUGUAAAGAAGGAUCCAUAGGUAUUGAGCUUGGUUUACAACCAAGUAAGCCUGCAUCUUCUAGCAAGUUCUAAGCAUACUUCCUCUGACAUACUGAUAUUCCUUUUGAAGAUCUUGAGAUUUCCAAUCCUAAGAAGAAUCUUGCAGGUCCUAAAUCCUUUAUUUUGAAUUCAGACCUUAACAAUGCCUUUAAUUGAUCCACUGCUUCAUCAUUGUCACUUGCAAUCAUAAGAUCAUCCACAUAAACCAAGACAACAACAAAUGAACCAGUAGUAGCUUUGACAAAAGAGUAUUGUCAGCAGGAGACUGUAUAUAGUUUGCACCUAGUAACACUGAAGACAAUCUCUUGUACCACUGGCGAGAAGCCUGUUUCAAUCCAUAAAGAGAUUUUUUUUUUUUUUUGAAUCUUAUGUUAUAUUAUAUUCAAAAGAAAAAAUAUUCGUUUGUACAACUAGUGCAACAUUUCGCUGAAAAUAAAUCAAAAAUAUAAUUUAGAACUGAAUUGCUAAAACAGUCUUCUUAAGUUCGGGAGUUGAUCCAAGCUUGGUAGGCUUCAUCGUAUCUCCUAUCUCCUAGUAGACGAAUUGCCGAAAUCUGAUUCCUUAUUUGCUUAUCAAUCCACCCCGUAGUCUGUUCCGCCGUUUGUGGGUUUUCGCCAUGUUUUCUUCCAUUCCUUUCUCUCCAGAUCGUGUAAACCACCACUGAAGCACAUAUUUGAUGAGAAAACCCUCCACUCUCUCAAGUUGAUUUUCCGAAACAUACUCAACUAGAAGAGACCAGUUUGUUGUGUAUCGUGCCUUUAGAAUUCCCUUAGCCAAAGCUUCCCAAAUCAAAGAGCUGUAAUGACAAUCAAAGAAAAGGUGAUCACGAGUCUCCAAGUUGUUCUGACAAAAACCACAUGUGCCCGCUGCUCCACCCUUCCAUUUACUAACGCGAUCUCCCGUAGGUAAUCUGUUUUGAACAACCAACCACAUGCAGAAAGAAUCCAUAAAGAGAUUUCAGUAGUCUACAAACGGGAUUAGGAGGCAAACCAGUGUUCUGUGGUGGAGUAUAUCCUUGAGGUAAACUCAUAAAAAUUUCUUCAUCCAAUUCACCAUGGAGAAAUGCAUUUGAGACGUCCAUUUGAGUUAAACUCCAACCCUUUAUAGCAGCAAGACCAAGCAAAAACUUCACACUUGUUAAUUUAGCAACAGGAGAAAAAAAUAUCUAGGAAAUCAAUUCCUUCUUGUUGAGUAAAUCCCUGUGCUACCAAGCGUGCUUUAUAUCUCUCCACUGUUCCAUCAGGAUUGUAUUUGAUUGUGAACACCCACUUACAACCCACCACAUUCUUGCCUGGAGGUAAUGAUUCAACAACCCAUGUCUUGUUAAGUUCAAGAGCAUGUAACUCUUCAUUAGCUGCCUUUGUCCAUUUCUCAGACUUCAUGGCCUGUUUGAAUGUUUUUGGCUCUGUCUCUAUAUCAUAAGCACAUAUAUAAGACUGAAAAAGAGGUGUAUAUUUGUCCUAAGAAAUGACAGAAGCAAUGGGAUAUGGUGUAGUCUUUUUAGGUGAUGAUGAAACAGGACAUGGUGUAGGCUUUUCACGUGAUGGAAGAAGAGGAUAUUGUGUAGGCUUUUUAAGUGAUGAAAUAACCGGUUCUGUUGGUGGUAAUGAAGAAAUAAACAGAACAAGAGAGCAAUGAUACUCAGACAGAUAACUAGGAGCUCUAGUAGUGCGUUUAGACCUAGCCACAUGUACAGAAUUAAGACCAGUAUCAUGCGUCUCUGUGUUACUAGUAGAAGAUAUGGUACUAGGAUUUAUUGCAGAUGAUGAUGCAGUAGUAUCAACAAGAGAAUCCUCAUCUAAUAAUGGCAUUGUCUCAACAAAAUGUAUGGUGCAGGAAGAGGUAAAAUAGAAUUUGGAAACUUGUCUACUGCUUUAUGCAACAAAUCACUAGUUUUAAAAGGAAAAGUUUGUUCUUGAAAAACCACAUUUCUAGAGAUUGAAACAGAAUGAGUUUCUAAGUCUAACACCUUAUAGCCUUUAAAACCUGCAGGAUAUCCUAGGAAAACAGAAGGUCUGGCUCUAGGUGAAAAUUUAGUUCUUUCAUUUUGAUGAGUGGAAACAUAACACAAACAACCAAAGUUCUUUAAAAGCGAGUAAUCUGGUAAUUUUCCAAGUAAAAUUUCAUAAGGAGACUUAUUUUGAAGCAAUGGUGAUGGUAAACGAUUAAUCGAAACUGCUGUAAACACACAAUCACUCCAAUAUUGAAGAGGGACAUUAGACGAAAAAAGUAAAGAUCUAGCAACAUUGAGAAGAUGCUGAUGCUUUCUCUCAACAACAGAGUUCUGUUGAGGAGUAUAAGCACAAGAAAAAUAAUGCAUCAUGCCAUGUUCUUUAACUAAUUCAGUGAAAGCAAGUUCAGGUGCAUUGUCAGAUCUAAUCGCUUUUAUUUUUGCAUUAAACUGAGUAGAAACAAGUUUAAUAAAAACAGGAAAAACUGUUGAAACAUUCUUUUUAUUUCUUAGCAUAUAAAUCCAGGUGGUUCUUGUACAAUCAUCUACCAAAGUAAGAAAGUAUUUAAAACCCUCACCAGAUUCAACACUAAAAGGACCCUAUAUAUCCAAAUGAACAAGAUCAAAUGGUUUUGGAGCUAAAUUGUUAUGAGAAAUAUAAGCUAAUCUUUUCUGUUUUGCUAAAGGACAUAUAGAACAUGCAGAAUUUUCUGAAUCUAAAGACUUUAGAGAAGGAAUAACAGUAACAAGCUUCUGUAAAACAAUAGAUGAUGGAUGGCCUAAUCUUUGAUGCCAAAGCUUUCCAUCUAUGACAGAUCCAAAGAAAGAACAAGCAGGUGUUGAUGGAGAGAGGGAAGUAUUCUCUGUUUCAAGAAUGUAUAAGUUGUGAUAUAGUCUACCCCUCCUAAUCAUCAAGCCCUGAGAAUGUUCCUGAAUCAAACAACAAUCAAUAUAAAAAUGAGCAGAACAAGAUAUUGUUUUAACCAAUGAACUCACACUAAUCAAAUUGAAUUUAAAAUCCGGUACAUGCAAAAUAUUAUGCAAAAUAAGUGUUUUAGUAAUGCAAACAGUGCCUGUAUGUGUAAUGGAGACCCUAGUACCAUUUGGAAGAGUAACAGUAACACCUGAGACUGAUUUUAAUUCCCUAAACAUGGCUAGAUUUGAACAUACAUGACUAGAAGCUCCACUAUCUAUAAUCCAAGCAUUAGGAGGUAAAAAUUUUUGUAAAGAAGAAAGAAUGUGAUUCUGAAAAGUGAGAUUAUUAUUUUGAAAUUUUAGACUGGUAGAAGGAAAUAGAAAUUCAGUAACAAAAGUUGAUUUAUGAGCCAUCAAACCAUGUUCUGAGAUAGUUGCAGUAGGACUAGGUGUGCUUGAAGAAGUUACAGGCUCUGAAACUUGAACUUGAGUUUGAAAUUGCGAAACCAUUUGUUCUAUUUGCUUCGGACUAAAAUUCUGAAGACUUUGACUAUGUCCACCUUGUAUAACCUGCGGUGCAUAUUGAGGAACCAAAGUACCAUAAGAACCAUUCAUUGGCAUAGGCAUUUGCAUAUAUCCUUAUGUUGGAUAAGUUCCAUUCUCAGUAUACACAUGAGCCACUGCAUUUGCCUUUUGCAUUGAAUUAGUAUAAGGCAUCAUCUGCAUCUGAGAUUGUGAUUGCAUCCUAGGCUGAAUUUGCAUCAUUUUCAUCCGAGGUUGUAAAGGAGGAUUACCUCUGUAAGUAUAUCCUAUAGCCCAUGCCUUAUAACCAGGUGGAUAUCCUAGAAUCUUGAAAUACUUUUGAACUGUAUGUCCUACUUUCCCACAGUGAGAACACACCGGCUUAUGUGAUGGUCUAACAGUAUUAUAAGCAGCAAUAUAUGCAUUCUCGGCAUCAUUCAUAAUAGGAGAGGAACUCUGAAAAGCAACAUUAUCAACUCUAGUAGGUGGUUUAACACUCUUCUGUCUCUCAUCCUGAGUAACAAUGUUGAAUGCUUCUUCUAUAGUAGAAAUAGGCUUUAACAUCAGUAUAUGACGCCUAGUCUGAUCAUAACUUUCAUUUAACCCCAUAAGAAACUUAGUUACCCUACUUCUCUGUUGCAUUUUCUCCCAUUUAGCAGCUGCAUCACACUCACAACGACAACAUAUACACACAGGAAGCUCUACAUAAUUCUUGUGUUCUUCCCACAAAGUAAGCAAAGCUGUAUAAUAAGUGGAUACAUCCAUAGCUCCUUGUUCAAUCUUACUUAUCUUCUGUUCAAUAUCAAAUAUUCUAGGAGCAUCAUCUUGCUUAAAACGAGUUAACAAAUUGUUCCAAAUUCCUUCUGCGGUUGCUAUAAAAAGCAAACUCUGACCAAUCUUUUUAUCAACAGAAUUCAUCAACCAUGUAGAAACAAUAUCAUUGCAACGUGACCAAGCACCAUAAUCACGAUGAUCAAUCGGAGGUUUAACAAUCAUACCAUUGAUAAAUCCCAGCUUAUUGCGAACAUUCAAAGCCAUCAAAACUGAACGACGCCAAGAUGGAAAAUCAGAAGAAUUGGAUAAACGAUCGGAAACAAGAACAAGACCUGUGUGAUCGGCACUAUGUAGAUAAUAAGGAUUAUCAUACUGAUCGGCUGGAUAACGCGGUUGUUCAUUAGCAUUUAACGGCGGACGAGUCACCGGAAUCGGCGGUGGAGGAACAUAAGAUCCCAUUCUCAGUUUAAGAACAGGAAAUUACAAAGAAAAUUGUGACGAAUUGAGUAAAGAAAGCAAGAAUCGUCAACACUGGAGGUCAACGAAAGAGAAAUCAAAGAAAACAGAAUUAGAAAAUCAAAAUUCCGGUGAAACAAAAGCAAGAAAUCGCAAAUUACGAACAAUCAAAAGAAUCUAAGCACAAAUCGGAAAGCUCAUCUCCGGCGAACAAACGAUUGCGGAAGAAGACGAUUAUGCUCUGAUACCAUAUUGAAUUCUCAUCAUCAGAGAAUCAAGAUUGAAGAAGAAGAGAGCUUAACGAACGUUUAACAAACUUCAUUAUUAUAAAAUGUUGUUACAAAGCUUAAACUGAAACUAAUGAUGAGAAUAAGCUUAUAUAGUAAUACAUUAAACCAAGAUGUAGUUAACCAGAGUUAACCAUUCAAUAACCGGUCCAUAUAUCAUCUGUAAUAGGCUGAGCCAACGUCACAUAAAAAUAGAGACUCGAGUCAAGGUUGCGAGACAUACCGUGAUUGACGGCUUAGGGUAUUCGUGACUCGUCUCAGAGUUUGUGUUCUCUUUUAAUAUCCACGUGGGAACAAUAGGUUUCACUUGGGUUUAAAUCAUUAUAAUGAUUUGGGCCUCGUAGUUUAAUUGCGAAAUCGGGUGUGAUUAAAAUAAAAUAAUAUCUCGUCGCCAUCGUGUCGUUUAAGUGGGCGAAUAUAAAUGGUUGACUAAUUUUGUUAAGUCAAUGUAGUUUUACGCUCAAAUUUAGUAGUCGGGGUAGUUUAUUUAAAUUAGGAAAAUUGUUAAAAAUACUCCUUUUGGUGUACCCCUUUUUAAAAAUGCCCCUUUUAGAUAUCCAUUUUAAAAAAUGUCCCUUUUUAAAUCUGAAAUUUUUAUAAAGUUUUAUUAGGUUUAUAAGGUACUUAUGGAUUGUAACUACUACUUGAAGACUCGAUCCAAGUAUUUAUAAGGUUUUAUAAGGUGUUUUUAAAGGUUUUACAAGUUAUUUUAAAGGAUUUUAAGGUUUUUCAAAGGUUUUACAAGAUAUUUUAAAGGUUUUUAAAGGUAUUUAAAAUGCAUUUAUAAGGUAUUUAUAAAGUAUUUAUAAGAUUUUAGAUACAUAGAAAUGUAGUUUGUGUAUGUUUUAAUAAUAUUACAUACAUAUUUGGGUAAAUCUUAUAUUUUUAAGAGCAUUUUUAUAAGGUUUUUAAAAAAGGGUAUUUUUGAAAAGUGGCAUUGAAAAAGUGGCAUUUUGCAAAAGCCUCUUUAAAUUAUUUUAGCGUUGAAGUGUAAACAGACAUUAUUUCUUUUUGAGGUAUAAAAAUGCACCCUACAAUUUGUUUGGGUUUAAAUAUAAACCUUUUUUACUCCAUGUUUUUGGGAUAAAAAUCAUAUUAGAGUUCUGAUCUCCCAUUUUUUUUUUGUCAUUCGAAAUUACUUAGAGCUCAAAAGAUGAAUGUUGUUUACAUAUGUCAUAUGAAGCGGUUCUGUACGAACUUUUAAUCUCCCAUUUUUUGUUUUGAAGAAUUUAGAUGUGAAACAUGAGUAUAAUCCAGAGGCAUCUUCCAACUGAAAUGACAAAAGAAAAUUGAUAAUGAAUAUGAGUUUAGGAGAAAUGAAUGAAUAGAAUAUUUGUUAAGUUUUUACCUGAAGAGAUUAAUCGUAGAUUUCUAUCGCGAUGGAGAGGAAAAAACAAAUAUGAAGAGGAAAGCAGAUAAAAAUCGAAUAGAGAGGAAACUGAAUCAUUGGAGUUAUUUAGAAGAUGAAUUAGUUACAAAUCAGCUUGACCGUGGAGGUGUUGGUGGGAGCAAAACUAGUGAUUAGAUUCUUUUUACAGUUGUCUCAGAAUUUUCUAGAACGAUAUAUGAGAAAAAAAAAAGAAUUAUGCAAAAAAACAAUUAGGUAUAGGUUUAUAUCCAAAACUAGGCCUGGGCGUUUGGGUAUUCGGUUCGGUUCUAGAACCGAACCAUUCGGUUCCAAAUAUUUUGGUUCUGAGAUUUAGGAACCAUAUUGGAACCAAAUCAAUAUCGGUUCGGUUCUGGUUCGGUUCCUAUUCGGUUCGGUUCGGUUCGGGUAAUAAAUUUUGGAACCGAAUAGGAACCUGUUUCAGAUAUAUUUGGAACCGAAAAAACAAUAGAAUUAUAAUGCAAAAUUCAAAUGCAAUUAUGCAAGUAUGCAAUGCAACAUCACAUAUUAGUCAUCAUACCAUUACAAAUUCAGAAAAUAGUUGAAACUUGGAAAGUAUUAAGUCAAAAGACACCCAAAGUUUCAAAAAUACCACAAAACACAAGUUUUAAAGACACCAAAAGAAGCUUUGUCUUUGAUUUGCAAUGAUUCGAAAGAGAGAGUUGUUGUCUGCGGCGUCUCCUUCUUUGAGAAAGAGAGAACAAACUAGGGUUUCUCUUUAGGUUUCAGAGAAAUAUAUAAGAGGCUAAGAGAGAUAUAUGGUUGGUUGUUAGGCUUGGGUAGCUAGGUUUAUGUCUAGAUGGGUUUGAAACUUUGAGUUAUAUAAAUAUAGGUUAAUGUGCUAUAUUUUUUGGGUACCCGAAUGGAUAUCGGUUCUUACCCGAACCGAACCGAUACCCAUGGUUCUUUGAUUUAAGAUCCAAUCGAUAUCUUCACUAGAACCGGAACCGAACCGUACCCAUCAAUUUUGGUUCGGUUCGGUUCGGUUCUACGUGGAUCCAUAUUUGUGCCCAUGCCUAUCCAAAACUAUGGGCUUACAAUUCUCUGAUGGGCUUACACAAACACAUUUUUCUUUAACAUUAAGAAGCCUUAUUUUGUUUUGUAACAAUUAGUUUUGUUUUUAAUUUUUUUCCUUUUCUUUUGCAUGAUCUUAAUUAAAUUAUGACAUAGAAAUCUAUGUGGCACGUUUUUAUUGGUCAGGUGACUUGUUCUUUACAAUAUAAAGGAUAUACACACAUAUAUAAAUAAAACUUGAAACGCCCUUUAACCACACCAUAAUUGGUGUAAACUAAAAUAUGUGCGGUAUUAAGAUAAAACAGAACAAACAAAAAGAAAUUGCUAAGUGCGAUCUAAUAAUUGAAAUAAUACACCGUAUUUAACUUAAAUGGUAAAUAAAUAGUACCGCAUAUAAAACGCUAAAACGGGUCGUACAUUCACACACUUAGGCUACGAAUGGGAACAUUGGAUUAGACGGUGUCGGUCAAGCGGAUCUAAUAGUGCGGUACGGUUUAAGUGUGGUUUGUAAAGAAGAAACGCAGUAUGCGGAACAUAUGCGGUUAAUGCAGAAUAAAUGGUGUGGAUAAUUUAUGAAUGGUAAAAACAACAUGCGAUUCCGUACAAUUGUUUAAAUGGUAAGAAGUAUAACAAGUGGUUCGAAGUAUAUGUUUUAAAUAAAUAUAUUAUAAGAAAAAAUAUAUAAGUAUAAAUAUAAAUCAAAUAUUAAUUUGUUGUUUAAUUAAUGAUCAGAAAUUUUACAUAUAUUUUUUAGGGUGAUUUGGCGCAGAAACAAAAUUAUGGGCAACAAAAUUAGGAAUUCGACAUUGGUAGGAUUGGUCGGGGACGAAGAAAUAACGAAAAUACCACAUCAUCUCCGCUACAUGCGCAUGGGCAAGUUGAUCGUGCCGUUUCAGUAAGCCAAAGAACAACCCGCAAAACAAUAAAUGCAACGACUUAAACUGACAAAGCCGCGUAUACAAAAAGAAUGAAGUGAUUGGCAAUAAAUGCGAGAGCUCUCAACUCGAGCGGAAGAAAAUUUGAAAAUAGCCUGAUAUAACUGGGCGGGAAUAUGAAAAUUUAAAGAGCUACCUUAGAUACAUGAACCACCACCAAUAAAUAGGUGUACUGGGUUGAAGAAAAAACGUAGAGCAACACAAAGAAGUAAAAAAAAAAAAAUUAAAGUGCAUAAGCAAAUGAGGCUGCAUAACAAACGUAGUGGUGAGGUAAGGGUAACACAAUUAGUCUUAUUUUCGUAGCUAAUCUUCAUACCUUAGUAGAAAGUUCCAAAGUUGUGAAAGAGAUUAACCCUUAAUAUUACUCGUUUCUACUGGUGGGGAUGAUGGAGGUGACAUAUACGAGAGAAUCAGCGAUUGUGUGCGGGUCUAACUUGGAUUAUGGAGUAAGGACGAGCAUGGUGUUUGGAGAUUCAAUGUCUCGCAGGAAAGGACUGGCAAGAGCAUCUGGUUCAGAGAAGGCGAUGGUGUUGAAGUGGCUAAAGAGAAGGUCAUUCAAGCAUGGAACAUAGACCAAACAUGUGAGAAGGUGGAGCUAACAUACGAGAUGCCCGAGUGGAUGGACGUAGAUGGUUCAGUUAAACCUGUCCCAAUACACAUAGUCCCGGACGACAACAUGGACAUGUUCCUUGCUAUGUGUGUGGAUAUUCAUGAAAUGAAGCUCUAUGUUGUACCAAUGUCGUUGCAUAUGACAUUAGAGAUCGAUGGGUUCCAAGUAGUACCGAUCAUGAACGAUUUUACUUUCGUGGAAGUAAUGAGCAAGAAGGAUGUAGGGAAACCACGUGGCACUACAAUACUCAUUGUGUAUAAACUUGGCACUCGCAAGAACAACCUCAUUAAAAACCUAAGCUUGGAAAACCACGUGGGACAAAACCAAGCCUAGGGAAAAAGAGUAUUGUCCCAACGAGUUAGGGAGCCUUUCUCAAGGAUGUGUGAGGUCUACAAGACCAAGUUUGCCAUGGAUAAAUUGACAAACUUGGUUACUUGCUGCCUUGGUGAAGAUAUCGGCCAAUUGGUCCGAACUCGUAGUGUAGCAAGGAAGGAUUGUACCGUCUUCGAUCUUCUUUCUUGUCUUGUGGCAGUCCGUCUCUAUGUGCUUGGUCCUCUCGUGGAACACGGGGUUAGUAGCAAUAUGGAUGGCUGCUUGGUUGUCGCAAUGGAAGGUAAUUGGCGUCUUUUGCUCGAUCCCAAAGUCCUUUAGUAGAGCCUUCAGCCAUGUCAAGUCGUUUGUGAGCUUCUUCUUAGCCCUAUACUCCGCUUCAGCACUCGAACAAGACACCACCUUCUGUUUCUUUGUCUUCCAAGUUACAAGAUUGCCACCAAUGAAAGUGUAAAAGCCGGUUGUGGACUGCCUUGUGUUGCGAUCUCCAUUGUAGUCUGCAUCACAGUACCCAACAAUUUCCGUGCUAAAGUUUCUUCCCAUCCAAAUGCCUUUGCCGGGACUUCCUUUGAUAUAUCUCAGAAUUCUCUCCACAAAACUCCAAUGGUACACCGUAGGGGCUUGCAUAUGCUGAGCCACCUGAUUCACGGCAAAAGAGAGAUCAGGCCGAGUAUAUGUCAAAUAUAUGAGCUUACCUACAAGUCUUCUAUACUGUUCCGGGCAAUGAUAUGGAGUAUCAUCCUUCUCCUCCUUUCGAUUGACCUUGCAUCCUUGCUCUAGUGGUGUAUCCACUGGUUUAGCUCCAAGUUUCCCUGUAAGCUUUAGGAGAUCGAGGGCGUAUUUCCUUUGUGAGAGAAACAGUCCCUCCUUGGAUCUACACACCUCAAUCCCUAAGAAAUACUUCAACACACCCAAAUCUUCAAUAUCAAAGGCUGAGUGUAAAGAAGACUUAAUCGCUUGGAUCCCUUCUUUGUUACUUCCCGAGAUAAUCAAGUCAUCAACAUAGACCAAUACCACUACUAUGCCUUGAUUAUCUUGCUUAGUAAGCAAAGUAUGAUCCGAAUGUGACUUCUUGAAGCCAUUAGCCAAUAAGGUGGAGCUUAGCUUGUGAUACCAAGCUCUUGGAGACUGUUUGAGACCAUAGAUUCCUUUCCGAAGCCUUAAGACCUUUCCCGGAGCCACUAUGUCUUCUAAACCCGGAGGAGGUGACAUGUAGACUUCUUCUUCCAACUCCCCCUGAAGGAAAGCAUUCUUGACAUCCAUUUGCCACAACUCCCAAUCCAAAUUAACCGCCAAAGAUAGAACAACCUUCACCGUAUGUUGCUUAGCUACCGGAGCAAAUGUUUCCCUAUAAUCAUCACCAUAUGUUUGUGUGAACCCUCUUGCAACCAGCCUAGCCUUAUAUCUUUUAAUUUCACCAUCACUCUUGUACUUAAUGGUGAAUACCCAUUUUGAGCUAACACACUUCUUUCCUUUUGGUAGCUCUUCUUCAUCCCAUGUAUGGUUCCUUAUCAUAGCUUGUACUUCAUCAUCUACCGCAUUCGUCCACUCCUUUCUUUAUUUAGCUUCUUCAUAGCUUUGUGGGAUAAAUUCCACAUCUAGCUUACUAAUGAAAGCUUAAUGUUCCUCGGGAAGAAGGUCAAUCGAAAAUGUUGCUUGAAUUGGAUGAGCCAUGGCUUGGCAAUUAUAGAGGCACUUCUUCAAUUUUCUCUCUCUUGUACUCCUUCUUGGAUUCUCCCGAGUAUAGAUAGGAUCUCGUGUUACUGGUGGAGCUUGAUAAGUCUCAUCUACUCUUGAUGAUUCAAUAAUGUCACCUUCACUAGAUGGAUCUUUCUCUUCCACUUCUUCACUUAACCUUUCUUCUUUACCACUCUCUUGUUGAUUAUCCAGAGACUCUUGUGGUGUAUUAUCACCGCUUUCUUGGGCUUGAUUGUUACCAUCAUUUGGUGUAGCUUCCUUAUCUUCUUGUGGAGAGCUUACAUUACCCAAAUGUUCUAGAAUAUGCCGAAGACUCUGAGCACGAUCUGAAGUAGAAUUAGGGAGGUCCUUAACGCUUUCCCAGCUCUUCUCUUCAAAGUAGGCCUUGUCUUCCAUAAACUUGACAUCCCUUGAUACAUAAUAUCGAUUGUUGGCUGGAUCGAAGCACUUGUAACCUUUCUGAGUUGUUGAGUAUCCAAUAAAAACACACUUAUUACUCUUGGGUUCUAGUUUGUUCCUCAAGUCACCUGGGACAAACACAAAACAAAGACUUCCAAAGACCCUCAAAUGAUCAAUGUUAGGGAUAGUUUUGUUUAAAAUCUGAAAUGGAGAUUUAUCAUCAAGGAUACGUGUCGGUAUUCGAUUGAUGAGAUAACAUGCUGUCAUCACCGCAUCUCCCCAAAACCGCUUUGGCAUAUGCUUCUGAAAUAACAUAGCUCUUGCCACCUCCAUUAAAUGCCUAUUCUUCCUCUCAGCAACUCCAUUUUGUUGUGGAUUGUAUGGACAGCUAGUUUGGUGAAGGAUUUCGCAUUUCUCCAAGUGUUCUUUGAGCUUGUUGCUUGUAUAUUCACCUCUAUUAUCUGUUCUAAGAAUCUUAAUCUUUGCAUCAAAGUGAUUAGUCACAUAGUUUUGAAAGUUUAUAAACGCAUCAUAAACUCUAUCCUUAGAUGGCAUCAAAGUUACCCAUGUAUACUUAGAUUUCUCAUCUAUAAAAGUGACAAAGUACUUGUGAUUGUCUCUAGAUGCACAAGGUGAAGACCACACAUCAGAAUGCACAUGGUCAAAACAUUUUUCAUAAAUCGCACUAGACUUAGGAAAAACAGCUUUGCAAUGUUUGCCUAAUAUGCAUGCUUCACAANNNNNNNNNNNNNNNNNNNNNNNNNNNNNNNNNNNNNNNNNNNNNNNNNNNNNNNNNNNNNNNNNNNNNNNNNNNNNNNNNNNNNNNNNNNNNNNNNNNNNNNNNNNNNNNNNNNNNNNNNNNNNNNNNNNNNNNNNNNNNNNNNNNNNNNNNNNNNNNNNNNNNNNNNNNNNNNNNNNNNNNNNNNNNNNNNNNNNNNNNNNNNNNNNNNNNNNNNNNNNNNNNNNNNNNNNNNNNNNNNNNNNNNNNNNNNNNNNNNNNNNNNNNNNNNNNNNNNNNNNNNNNNNNNNNNNNNNNNNNNNNNNNNNNNNNNNNNNNNNNNNNNNNNNNNNNNNNNNNNNNNNNNNNNNNNNNNNNNNNNNNNNNNNNNNNNNNNNNNNNNNNNNNNNNNNNNNNNNNNNNNNNNNNNNNNNNNNNNNNNNNNNNNNNNNNNNNNNNNNNNNNNNNNNNNNNNNNNNNNNNNNNNNNNNNNNNNNNNNNNNNNNNNNNNNNNNNNNNNNNNNNNNNNNNNNNNNNNNNNNNNNNNNNNNNNNNNNNNNNNNNNNNNNNNNNNNNNNNNNNNNNNNNNNNNNNNNNNNNNNNNNNNNNNNNNNNNNNNNNNNNNNNNNNNNNNNNNNNNNNNNNNNNNNNNNNNNNNNNNNNNNNNUUACUUGGGUUACAGGUUACUUGGGUUACUUGGGUUACUUGGGUUACUUGGGUUACAAGGCUGAAUGAGGGUGCUGUUGGUCUUUGUGCACAACCCAUCUCAGACCUAGAUUUUGUUCUCUAUAUAAACAUGUGUGCCUCCUCAUUGUGUGAGACACAUCUAUUAUUCAACACAUUUUAAGUUUCUCUCUAUUCUUAAAUCAUGUUUCAAUUAAUCUUUCCUACUUAAAUAUUCUCAUGGUAUCAGAGCACGUUCUUAAUCUUUAAUCUUCAUCUUUUGGUUCAUCGGUUCUCUGUUUUCUCUUUGUCUCUGUUCGAAUCUGGCUUCUAAACAAGUUGUUCGAUUUCUUCUUCUACUUCUUCACGAAAAGGCAUCUGUUUGUGAAGGAGAGUUACUACUGGUCUGUGACAGAGCUAUUCAUCAUAAAAGCCUCAACCUUUCUGAGUUCUUUGUGGAUUAGUGUCAAAGCGGGUUGAAGAGGAGAAGUUUUCAGGCGUUUGGUCUUGUGUAUCCAAAGGUUUGAGCUUUUAUCUUCUUUAGGUCGAGAUUCUUAGAUACUUUCAGAACUAGGCUCAGAACUUAAGCUUCGGUAGAGUAGUAGUUGCUGAUUGGUUUGUUUGCGGUUGCUUAUUGGGAAGAAAGUCAACACCUUUUCGGUUUAUUUGUGGUUAUUACAUCCUGAAACUGUUGAAGAUGGCUCUCACAGUUCAGAAAACGAGUGAUACGUUCAAGGACUUGAAAGACUUGAAACUCGCAGUCACGUUGAAUGGUAACAACUAUCUGUUGUGGAAGAGAACCACAACAAAUGUAUUGGGAGGAAGGAAACUCACUAAAUACAUCGAAAAUACCUAUGAAGAAGCAAAGGCUAAAGAAGAGAACUUGAGUGAAGAUACUUGGAGGCAGAAUGAUCUGAAUGUUUUAAGCGCUCUACAUUGUUCUCUAGACGCUGCGAUCUUGGAAGGGUAUUGAAAGACCCCGAUCCGGACUUAUGGAACACUCUAGCUAAUGUCUUUGGCAAUGAGACUAAUCUGACCCGAGUGUACCAUAUCAAGAAAGCUCUUGGUGACACAAUCCGAUUUACGAUAUUCUGAGAUUCAUUACUUAGAGUCAAUAUGCGAUAAUAGAGUAAACAAAGAAUCGGAUACUUUAUUAGAUACUUAAAAGGAUUCGAUACAACUUAUGAGUUUGCAUAUAAGCUAUUACAAGUCAUAUAAUCGAUCCUAUUCUACCCGAUUCAUCACCACCCAUCUUCCCGGCCUUGAGUCUCUCACGCCUAAGCCAAGUCCUUCCCACGAUCACCAUCCUUUCCUGAAAGUCAAAGAGGCAUAAGUAUCCGNNNNNNNNNNNNNNNNNNNNNNNNNNNNNNNNNNNNNNNNNNNNNNNNNNNNNNNNNNNNNNNNNNNNNNNNNNNNNNNNNNNNNNNNNNNNNNNNNNNNGUGUACCAUAUCAAGAAAGCUCUUGGUGACACUCUAGCUAAUGUCUUUGGCAAUGAGACUAAAGUCAAAAAGAGAGUGAUUUCAACACUCACUUUGGAAAGUACAGGUCGCUUGUAGCUGAGCUUGAGAUGUUAAGACCCUUCACUACUGAGGCAAAGGCUCUUAAGGAUCGUAGAGAGCAAGAUUUGGUAUUCGGUUUGUUGCUGACACUAAACUCGAGCUACACUGAUGUGAUUCAGCAUAUACUAAGAGAUGACAAGGUGCUAACUCUAGAACAAGCGUGUGCGAAGAUUCAGAAAGAUUAUGGAGCUCAAGGACUGUUUAACAGCAAAGGAAGUCUCCCGACUGCAAACAAGGCUGGAGUUGUCAAGCAAGUAGACAAGAAGACAUGGGUUUGUGACUGUUGGUGUCGGAUCCCGCACCAGAAGUCCGAGACCAACCAAAGAUUGCCACGUAGUCAAGAUAAAGCCCGUCGAAUCCAUGAGCCAAGGGAACAGUCGAAGUGGUUGUCACCACUUCGAGAAUCCGAAGUGACUGCACUAUGACAUGAAUUCGGUGUAGAAGACACGGGUAAGUCGGUUCAAGGAUACUUAGGCCAAAAAGGCGAGGCCCAUGAAGAUCAGAGUCAACUCAAAUUCAAACGUUGAGCAUUAAAGUCAAAGAAUCAAAACGGACACAUUUAAGAAGGAAUAAUUGUAUUUAAUUAUUCAUUUUAAUGUCGUUUCUCUAUGUAUAAAUAAAAAGGCCAAUGGCCAUGUAAAGGGGAUCCUCCUCUCAAGAAAGAAAUACUAUAGCAAUUUUCGUAGCAAUUUAUAAGUUUUUACAUAUUCAUUUUUGUCCCUCAAGAAUAAUCUUUCCUACUUAAUAAAAUACUUGAGUGUGUGAAUCCGACAUCCACAUUUUGGCGCCGUCUGUGGGGAUAUAGGAUUCUUGAGUGGUCAGAUUUUUUCUUUACUACAUUUCCGAGAUAAGCAACAAUGUCCGGAGGAGACGCCGUUGAGACAUCGUUGGCAGAAACCCUCAAAGCUAUGCAGCAAACCAUGUCGGACAUAUCACAAAAGUUCUCGGAUGUGGAAAAGGCCGUCGAUACGUUGCAAACAUCCCAGGUAUCUCUUAGUCAAAACGUCAAUACUAUACAAACUCGUGUUCGCUCUUUAAGUGCAGGAAACCUUGUGGGAAUCCGAAGAGGGAUAUUCAACUCGCCAAGUUCCGCUGCACGAAAUGAAACCAGCGGACAAACAACUCCUGGUGCUACUAAUAAUGUAGCUCAGACGUUGGAAGAAGAGACACAGCUCGGGGAUGAAGAACAACUUGCAGUUCAGUACGAGCAGGAGAACCUCGACCAGUUCGAGACCAUGAGGAAGGUUAGCCAGGAAUUAAAAGAAAUGAAAUCAAAAUUUCAUCAAGCUACAAGUUCGGAGCCAGACAUCAAUCGAUUCAUUGAAGAAGCUAGGCGAACACCUUUCAUCUCGCGAAUUGCAAGUUUGAGGAUCAAAGAUGCACUCUUCCGCGCGAACAACUGGAUGGAGGUAGAGGACGAAAAAGAAAGUUUUGCCAAAAGAAAUAAGCAAGAAAAGCCGGCAAUCACCGUCCCUACCAAGAAGUUCGAGCCUAGGGAGAGCAAAGGACCAAGGAAAUUUGGGUCGCAACCCUUCAACAGUACCGUCGGAAAGCAAUUCCAAGGGAAAGGAAGAUCAAACACUUGGGUCCGUGAUGAAAGUCUAUAUUGCGACAUUCAUAAAGUAACCGGACAUUUAACCAAUGAUUGCAGCGUUCUUAAAAGGCACCUCGCAGAGCUUUGGGCCAGUGGAGAUCUUUCCAAAUUUGAUAUAAAAGAUUUUGUGAAGGAAUACCACGAAGCAAAGGAAAACUCCAAAGAUCAAGAUUCCAAAAGACCAAGGUUAUCCAACGAGGAAGAACCAAGGAGUUCGAAGGGUAAGAUCAAUGUGAUUCUAGGAGGCUCAUAAUUUUGUCGAGAUUCGAUAAGUUCCAUCAAAAAACAUAGACGAAAUAUCUUACUCAAAGCAAGCUUGAGCGAAGAAGUUGAUUUUCAAGGUGCCUCAAUAUCAUUUAACGAAGAAGAAACGCGGCAUCUCGAAAGACCGCAUGAUGAUGCUCUAGUCAUUACUCUUGAUGUUGCUAACUUCGAAGUAUCAAGGAUCCUUAUCGAUACAGGCAGUUCAGUCGACUUGAUCUUUUUAAGUACUCUAGAAAGAAUGGGAAUCAGCCGAGGAGACAUAGUAGGACCCCCAUCUCCGUUAGUUGCGUUCACAAGCGAGUCAGCCAUGUCUCUCGGAACAAUCAAGCUACCGGUCCUUGCCAAGAAGGUAUCGAAGAUCGUGGACUUCGUUGUCUUUGAUAAGCCCGCAGCUUACAACAUCAUCCUCGGGACUCCCUGGAUUUAUCGAAUGAAAGCAGUCCCCUCUACAUACCAUCAAUGUAUCAAAUUUCCAACAUCAAAUGGGGUGGAAACAAUUCGGGGAGAUCAAGAAGCUUCACGGACGUGUUACCUAGCUAGCCACCGUAUGAAGAUUCAAUAGCAAUUAACGAAGCCCGCAAAAGANNNNNNNNNNNNNNNNNNNNNNNNNNNNNNNNNNNNNNNNNNNNNNNNNNNNNNNNNNNNNNNNNNNNNNNNNNNNNNNNNNNNNNNNNNNNNNNNNNNNAGUGGUGUUGGAAGAAGACAAGCCGGACCGGAAAAUUCGAAUUGGAGCAUGCUUGACUGGCCAAACAAAAGAAGCUUUGGUCGAACUUUUAAAGAAAAACAAAACAUCGUUUGCAUGGUCAGCAGCAGACAUGCCUGGUAUAGAUCCAAAUAUAAUUUGUCACGAGCUAAACGUGGAUCCAAGCUUCAAGCCGGUGAAACAGAAAAGAAGAAAGCUCGGAGUGGAGCGAGCCAAAGUAGUAAAUGACGAAGUGGAUAAACUUUUGAAGAUAUGGUCCAUAAGAGAAGUGCAAUACCCGGAAUGGGUAGCAAACACUGUCGUUGUCAAAAAGAAGAAUGGGAAGGAUAGGGUUUGCAUCGAUUUUACAGACCUCAAUAAAGCAUGUCCCAAAGAUAGUUUCCCACUCCCACAUAUAGAUCGACUUGUAGAGUCCACCGCUGGGAACGAGCUGUUGACAUUCAUGGAUGCCUUCUCGGGUUAUAAUCAAAUAAUGAUGAACCCCGAAGACCAAGAAAAAACGUCAUUUAUUACUGAUAGAGGUAUCUAUUGUUACAAGGUAAUGCCUUUUGGUUUAAAAAAUGCAGGAGCAACUUAUCAACGGUUGGUUAACAAAAUGUUCCAUAAUCAUCUCGGAAAAACAAUGGAAGUCUACAUAGAUGAUAUGCUAGUUAAAUCAUUAAAGAAAGAGGAUCACGUUAAGCAUUUAGAGGAGUGUUUUGAUAUUCUCAAUAAAUAUCAAAUGAAGCUGAACCCGGCGAAGUGUACAUUUGGAGUCCCAUCCGGAGAAUUUCUUGGCUAUAUCGUGACAGAAAGAGGGAUUGAAGCCAAUCCAAAUCAAAUUAACGCCUUUCUAAACAUGCCAUCUCCAAGAAACUUCAAAGAAGUACAACGGUUGACUGGGCGGAUUACGGCUUUGAAUCGUUUCAUCUCGAGAUCAACAGAUAAGUCGUUACCUUUCUACCAAAUUCUAAAAGGGAACAAAGGAUUCCUUUGGGAUGAGAAGUGUGAAGAAGCUUUUGGGCAGCUUAAAGCAUACUUAACCACUCCAUCUAUACUGUCCAAACCAGAAGUGGAUGAAAAAAUUUAUUUGUACGUGUCGGUUUCAAACCACGCGGUUAGUGGAAUCUUGGUUCGGGAAGACCGUGGGGAGCAGAAACCAAUUUACUACGUAAGCAAGUCAAUGACGGAUCCAGAAACCAGAUACACAAUGAUGGAAAAACUCGCACUCGCGGUGGUGACUUCGGCCCGAAAGCUGCGCCCAUAUUUUCAAUCCCAUCCGAUUGAAGUAUUAACCAACCAACCACUCCGAACAAUACUUCAUAGUCCAAGUCAGUCCGGACGUUUGGCGAAAUGGGCGGUGGAAUUAAGCGAGUACGAUAUAGAAUUCAAAAGCCGGAUCAGUAUGAAAGCUCAGGUUCUAGCAGAUUUCUUAACCGAGCUACCAAUACCUGGAACGAUAGAGCAUUCGGAGAACCAAACCUGGAAAUUACACAUAGAUGGGUCUUCAACAAAGCAAGGAUCCGGAGUGGGAAUCAAGUUGGAAUCCCCAACAUCAGAAAUUCUAGAACAAUCAUUCCGGUUGUUAUUCAAUGCCUCCAACAACGAGGCAGAAUACGAAGCCCUGAUUGCCGGACUUCGAUUAGCACAAGGAGUUGGAGCUAAGGAAAUAUUGGCUUAUUGCGAUUCGCAACUAGUAGUUAACCAGUUUAAUGGAGACUAUGAAGCCAAAGACUCAAGAAUGGAAGCGUACCUCGAAGUGGUGAAGGAUCUAUCUAAAAAUUUCUCGAAAUUCGAAUUAAUCCGCAUACCUCGAGGAGAAAAUACAAUUGCGGAUGCACUUGCCGCAUUAGCGUCAACAUCAGACCCUGAGUUGAAAAGAGUUAUUCCAGUGGAAUGCAUUUCGGAACGAAGCAUUCAAGACAACAAAGAAACCCUCAUAGUUACAAGGUCUCGAGCAGCGGCACGCGACCGUGGCGAACCAGAGAUCGAACCGCCACCCAACAAACGAAGGAAGUCAAAGGGAUCGAAUACAUCUAACAAGGAACCCGUUGUCUCAGCUGAAGAGGUGAUUCCAGAAACAAUGUUAGAAACCGAGCCGUUAAUCGAGGAGGAUGUUCUUGAACCAAACGAGCAUCCCGAGCCAGAGCCACGAGUAUUUCACAAAGUUGACCAAAUUCCGGCUAAAGACUAGGGGGCUGACUGGAGGGAGCCAAUAAAGCACUACAUCAUGACAGGUGAGCUCCCAAAGAAUAAAUGGCAGGCCAGGAAAAUGAAAAUCGUUAGCGCGAAAUUUUGUCUGUCAAAAGAUACAUUGUAUAGACGAGGUGUCAGUGACCCUUACCUAUUAUGCAUUUUUGGGCCCGAAGUCGAAAUCGUUAUGAGCGAAGUGCAUGAAGGAUUAUGUGGGAGUCAUUCAUCAGGAAGGGCUAUGGCUUUUAAAGUUAAAAGAAUGGGAUAUUAUUGGCCCACUAUGAUUACAGAUUGUGUUAAGUUCGCCCAAAGAUGCAGGCGCUGCCAACUCCAUGCACCAUUGAUCCAUCAACCGUCGGAAUUAUUCUCCUCCAUUUCCUCCCCAUACCCGUUUAUGAGGUGGUCAAUGGACAUCAUUGGACCAUUGCACAAAUCAACUCGAGGUGUACAAUACCUUUUAGUCCUUACGGACUACUUUUCGAAAUGGAUUGAAGCUGAGGCGUAUGUUGGUAUCAAGGAUUCGGCGGUGAAGACCUUUAUUUGGAAAAACAUUAUAUGUCGACAUGGAGUUCCAUACGAAAUAGUCACUGAUAAUGGACCACAAUUCAUUUCACACGAGUUUGAUGCCUUUUAUGCGGACUGGGGAAUCAAAGUUAGUUAUUCUACUCCACGAUAUCCGCAAGGAAAUGGUCAAGCUGAAGCCGCGAACAAGACAAUAUUAAGCAAUCUCAAGAAACGCUUAAGUCAUCUAAAGGGAGGAUGGUAUGAGGAACUCCAACCCGUCAUGUGGGCCUAUCGUACAACCCCUAGGCGACCUACAGGAGAAACUCCAUUCUCUUUGGUUUAUGGCAUGGAGGCGGUAGUACCAGCUGAACUCAAUGUGCCCGGACUUCGCCGAACAGAAGCACCGUUAAAUGAGGAAGAAAAUUCAGCAAUGCUUAAUGAUUCACUAGAUACCAUAAAUGAAAGGCGUGAUCAAGCUCUAAUUCGGAUCCAGAAUUACCAGCAGGCAGCAGCCCGGUAUUACAAUUCUAAGGUUAAAAGUAGGCCGUUCUUCAUGGGAGAUUAUGUAUUAAGGCGCGUCUUUGACAACAAAAAAGAAGAAGGCGCCGGUAAACUCGGUAUUAAUUGGGAAGGACCUUACAUUAUUACCGAAGUGGUUCGGAACGGUGUUUAUAGGUUGAAAGACUUAGAAGACAAUCCAGUCAAUCGACCUUGGAAUGUGAUCAACCUAAAGAAGUUUUAUGUUUAAAGCUACAUUCAUUGUUUAUGUACAUGAACUACGGUGUGGCUUGAUCCCGAGAUGGGUACGUAGGCAGCUCGGAAACGAGUUCAGCUAUUAAUAAAAAUUUGUUUUAUUUCUUUAUUAAAGGAAAAAGGUUCGACUGUGCGAACAAGUGAAGCAAAUAAAGGGUCGGCUAUGCGAACAUACAAGAGAUUGGAAAUAGAGCGUUUAUUCAAAAGGCGGAACGUCCCUCAUCGUACACUUCGGACUAUGAAAAUCUUGUUGACGAGCAUAACACUUCAACUCCUUGACCAGCAAGAUCAAGGAUUGGCAUCAUGCAGUCCAGAAUUCGAGCAAAGUCAGAGAUUCCAAGCUCAAUCCACUCUCCGGAGUGAGAUUCAAGGAUGUGAAGAUCUCUUGACACCGUAGUAAGCCUGCGUUGCAUCCGGUUAAUCCUCUUCCGGAGUCUCCUCUUUUCCAACAUAAGCUUCCGAUGUUGAAGCUCGAGUGCCUCUAUGAACGCCGUCGCUGUUCCUUGGUCUCUGAUUGGGAGAUCCCUGAUCAAAGCACAUGGGGCUCGGAUCUGAGAUCUCAAGAAGCCGCGAAGUGGAGGAGGCUGCCUGCUUGGCUCAUUUGGAACAUCUUCGUUUAUCAUUCUGAUUCUGGAGAAGUCGGGCAUAGAUUCUGAACAGCGAAGAUUGAACUCCAUACCUACUAAAAUAAAAAGAAUGGUGAGGAGUAAAGGGAAAUUGAGACUAUAAUUUAUAGGAACGUCAUAUCCCUAGCAAGCUACGGAUUCUAUCCUAAGAAUGGAGUGAUUCGCGGAGAGAUUUAUGCCCUCGAACAGAUCCUGCAUUAAAAGACGCAUCUCCGAGAAUAUUUGAAAAGAAAGGAAAGUUGCAAAUGUUUCCAUAAAUAAAAAGGGGCCGAAGCCCAUUACGAGUUUAAAAUAAGGGAAGAAGUUAAAGAACAUUUAUGGAAGAGGCUCAGGAACAGGCUCCUUCAUCGCCGGUUUAGUCUUCGAAGUGGACGCCUUGUUCUUGGCAUCCACUUCGGGAUGAUCCCGAACGCGUUUCCGACAGGUGCUGGCCUCCUCUUCGUCUUCUUCUUCGCUGUCAGAUGGAACGGCGCAGACGGGGGCGUUCACGGGACCCGGGAUUCCUUUAGCGCGGAAGAUACAUCCGAAGCAUCUUCGGGAUCUCAGCGACAGAGUCAAAGUUCCGCCAUUCCCAUUGAAAGGGAUCACUUUCCAAGGCCCGUAUCUUCCUCUCCACCCGAGCAAUGCGAGCCUCGAGUGUUUGCCUUUUGAGGCCCAGCCGCUGCCUCUCUUCACACAAGCGACGGUACUUGUCGGCAACCUAGCAUAAAGAUGAGCGAAUAAGAUGAAACAAAAAGUUUUUAUAUAAAAAACUUUAAAUAUUUACCUUGUCAAUAAAAUCGCAAGCCUCUUUCUUCUCCUUUGGAGGAAAGUGAAAGACGGCGUGAGGGAAGAGAACGCCGGCCGGUUCAAAGCCGUCGCCGGACAAGAAGAGUGGGCUGCCGGGAUCAACGGGGGCUACUUUUUCGUUUUCCAUUCUCGCAAUAUUACUCAAGUAAGAUUCUAAAAACGUAGUUAAAUAAAGCUUGGAGGUAGGUAAGCCUUUAUUUAUAAUGAUUUAGGGUUUGUCUUGGAACCAUAAAUCCAAUAAUGGUAGAGUGUCCGAGUGGUUUAAACCAUUUUUGGAAAAUCGAGAAAAGGCAGUUAUUGCACUAAAGACGAGCCGUUUUCCUUACUUAUAAAAAGGGAAAGAGCAACCGUCGCAUUAACUACAAAAGUUUCUAAGGCCCAAGCCCAACAAAUUUAUCGAGUUGACUAAACCCGAAGUGGGGAACUCGCUUUAAGCCGAGCUCAGUUCUCGCAUUCUAAAGAGAAAGGUCUGAUCAGCCUAAAAAUCUCAAAAGCAUAACCACAAGGCCACAAAAGGUUAAAAGCGGACUUUGCAAACCCGCAUAUAAUUUUAACCAAACCCCCUUGGGUCAUAACCUAGAAAGGUUUAAAAGCCUCCUCAGGCAAAUAUCUUGUUCAAAAGAAAUAAUAAAGCCUCCUUAGGCAAAGACAAGUUCGAAAUUAAGUUUUAAAAUAAAUGGGACAAUCCCCAAUUUAAAGUGGACGCAGCCACUACGGAGUGAUAUCCACCUCGGACUCCGGCUCAGCAACCGAAGUUUCAUUCACCUCCUUGACUGGUGCUUGGUCGGAUGGAGCUCUUGGUUCGCCCUCUACAUUACAACCAUCCUCCGGAGUAACCGCCGGUGCCGCAGGUACUUCGGGUGGGACGACAUCCUCCGCCUCACCUAAACCUGGAAAGGACAGUUCCAGUCAACUUUUUUAAAAAAAAAACACACAUAAGGUGAGAAAAAGGUAGUAAGUAUCAGGAGCCAAGCAUUACCUGCCCAGUCUAGACCCGAUUCACUUAUAGGAGGCGAUUCAGUGAAGAAUUCCUCGAAGUCCUGCGGGAUGAAGGUCGAAGUAGGGAGAGCUGCCAAGCGACUCCGCUUUUCAGAAAGAUUAGCCGACAGUUCGGUCCUCUCUUGCACCUCGGAGAAAUCUGUAUCAUGGAUUUGAUCCAACAAGAUCAGGUUGCUCUCGUGCUCCUUGAUGUCUGAUUCCAAAUCUGAUCUAGCUUUCUCGGUCUGCAUGAAUCGGAUGGCCCCUUGGAUCAACUCCAUCCCGCGUCCCUUAACCUCCUUUCUGGCUUUUGAUGCCGACCUCGCUAAAUCGGAGUCACGCAAUUUGGCAAUCGCCUUGUACUUCGCGUUAAGCUCAAUAAGCUGGUUGUUCAGGGUGUCGGCGGUUGAUUCGGAUUCAUGAAGUCUACCCUGAACACCAUAAAGCUCACCCUGGAGUUUGAAAUUUUGGUCGUACUGGUCCUGUAGCUCCCCCUUUAUCUUCGCAAGCUCGGACGAUAGACCAUCAACCUUGUCUUCCAAAUCAUGCUUGGAGUCGGUAGAAGAGCGGAGGUCAACCUCGAGAUUAGAAAACUUGUCCUUCCACGUGUCGAUCUCUUUCUCCCGACCAAUGACCAACCCUUCGUAAUGUUCAAUUAUGUCAUUGAGCUCGCCGUUCGCCUGAUAUUACACAUAAACCCGGAAUGACGGAUCAGUUCGAAAAAUGACGGUAAAGUCAGAAAUUGAAGCGGAACUAACCCGAGAUGAAUGAUAAGCAUGAAGUAGGUAUCGUUCACGAAUUUCAGAGCGCCACUUGUUGAAUUCCGGCAGGAUCGCACCUGACUGGGUUUUGAAGCACCGAAAAACGUUACCUUCUUUCUCCAUGGCUACGAAAGCGAAAAAGGAAAGGACUUAGAAAUUCAAAAUAAGUAAAAAGCGAAAGAAUAGUUCGCUAUGUGCUCACCACAUGACGAAAAGAAUACAUGUGUAUCGUCAUACCUGAGAGCGAUUUGAUCUGAGGAACAAGAGCAGGCUUUGUCUUCGGAGAAUCAUCUCGAGACUCAGAACUAUCCUUCUGAGAAGCUGCACCCAGGUUCGUCUUCUCACCACUACGUUGAGAAGAAGAAGACAUAUCAACAGGACGAGGCGGACCCAUUGGUUCAGUAGGAGGGGAUGAUCGAGGAGAACGGUCAGUCCGGGCCCUUGACUUCUCUCUUCGCGGAGAAGAACCACUGCGGGAUGACCUGUCCCUCUUUUUGCGAAUUAAAUCCUUGAGCGGUUCGUUGCUAAAGUCAUCCCGGGAAGAACGAUGAGAAUCACGGUUAGGAGAUUGAAGCCUCCGGGGAGGACGGUCAUCGUGAUGUUCACGUCGAGGUGUUAAUCUGAAAACAGCGACGGAUCUGGCUCCUUCGGUGCUACCGUCGUCAACCAAUAAGGUUUUGCUAUAAUCUUUUUUGUCAAUGGCGGUCGCAAGGAACGCCUUGUUCUCGUCGCAAGCCUCAGCCAUCGGCUUGGAGAUCACUUUUCGCUGGGCAGUGAGAGCCCGAGCUAACAUUCCCUAGGUUGAGGGAGGAGGCGGAAGACGAUGAAGAUGGUUGGGAGGGCUCAUCCUGAGUUUUCGAUUGGCUUCUAUGAACCGAUCGAGAGUGAAAGAAUUCCAAAGGGUUUCCCCUUCGAGGAUUAUUUUGAAGAAGCCAAUGAAUUCUUCAGUUGGUAAAGUCGGAGCGACGAAAGCUGCGAAGUGAAAAUAACAAGGUUAAUCAAUAGGAAUAAUAAAAUUGGGGGAAUGUAUGCGACCUAACUUCUACCAGGUUUCGUGGACCACUUCGAUGGAAGCGAAUCUGAUAGACUUCCAACCGAAGCAGGGGUUUUCUUAAUCAGGAACCAAGGGUGAUGCCAAUUUUCAUCCUUGUUUGGAAGAUGCGAAAUGACGUUCCACGCUUCUCACGCUUCGAAAUAAUGAAAAUAGCAUUAGGGUAUGCCGAGAAAUACCCUGUCUUCUUCGAUGAACUUCUCACGCUUAGAAGCUCAUUCAACUCGGGGACCCCUAUAAUGUAUCCGGCUUCCGCCGCUACUGUUAUAAUUCCAAGUAUGGUUCGGAGAAGAUUGGGGGUCAAUUGAGGAUGAGCGAUCUCAAGAACCGCCAAGUACCGAACUAGGGCUUCGGGAAGCGGGAAGGUUAAUCCGCAACCCUUGAAAUAAAUCUCGUACACACAGAAGUAACCAUCGCGAUGGUUCUCUAGGGAUUCUGUGGGGGCAGCUAUUUGUGCUUCCGCCAUAAUUUCCGGCGGAAUCCGGCAAAGCUCUCUCAAUCGCUCGAGGGAUUGAAGAGUACAAGUGGAUCUAUAGUGCGGGCCGGCAAUAUCAUUAGGGCGAGUGCACUCGUCAUUACUAGGGCGCCUAUCGUCGAAUGACGGAGAUUCGGGUCUUUCAGAAUCAGAAGUCAUUGGGAAAAUGGAAGGUUCGAGAUCCAACGAAGAGAAAUUUGGCAAAGGAAAAGAAGAGAGAAAUUUCGGCUAAAAAUGCAAAAGUAAAAGAAGUAAUGAUGAAAGAAGUUACCUCACGGAAGUUAAGUGAUAAUGGUGAAACCGCCUUGGGAAUCGUGGGGGAAGUGGAAAGGUUUCCCGCUUUAAUAGUAAAUAAUUAAGAUACGGUCAUAAUGAUGACAGAUGUCACUCAAGUAGAAAUGGCUAGUGCCGAAAUUAAAGGAGUGAUGAGAUUUUCGGCGGGAAAUCAGAAAGAUUCUCGAGCGCAAUCUUUGGUCAUUUAAGCAUUUAAAGUCCUCCGAAUUGGAAUGGCACUUCGAAGAACUUGGGGGGCUAAUUGUUGGUGUCGGAUCCCGCACCAGAAGUCCGAGACCAACCAAAGAUUGCCACGUAGUCAAGAUAAAGCCCGUCGAAUCCAUGAGCCAAGGGAACAGUCGAAGUGGUUGUCACCACUUCGAGAAUCCGAAGUGACUGCACUAUGACAUGAGUUCGGUGUAGAAGACACGGGUAAGUCGGUUCAAGGAUACUUGGGCCAAAAAGGCGAGGCCCAUGAAGAUCAGAGUCAACUCAAAUUCAAACGUUGAGCAUUAAAGUCAAAGAAUCAAAACGGACACAUUUAAGAAGGAAUAAUUGUAUUUAAUUAUUCAUUUUAAUGUCGUUUCUCUAUGUAUAAAUAAAAAGGCCAAUGGCCAUGUAAAGGGGAUCCUCCUCUCAAGAAAGAAAUACUAUAGCAAUUUUCGUAGCAAUUUAUCAGUUUUUACAUAUUCAUUUUUGUCCCUCAAGAAUAAUCUUUCCUACUUAAUAAAAUACUUGAGUGUGUGAAUCCGACAUCCACAGUGACCAUUGCAAGAAAAAAGGUCACUUGAAGGAUAAAUGCUGACUUCUUCAUCCCCAUUUAAAACCAGAAAAAUUCAAGAACUUUCAAGCCAAAGGAAAUGCGGUUAAUGGAAGUGAUGGGUGGGUCAGAGAAUGAAGAAAGAGCUAUGGUUCAGUAUGGGCAAGAGAAAGCGAUGCAGGCCAUUACACAAGGCAAGAGUGGUGCAUCUACCUCACAAGCUCCGGAGACUAUUGUCAUGAACAAGGCUGACCUCGAGUCUCUCCUCCAAUCCAUUGCAUCUAAAUUACACAUUGGCGGUAUUUGUUUCUUAACUUCUAAUACUCGUGAUAAAGAUUCAUUAGUAUUAGAUUCAGGGGCUUCUCACCAUAUGAUUAGUAACCCUAGGUUGUUAGAGAACAUUAAACCGGCCUUAGGUAAUGUUAAAGUUGCAAAUGGACAUAAUGUUCCAAUAGAAGGCAUAGGUUGCAUAGAUUUGUUCAAUAAGAAGUCUAGUGCUUUCUAUAUUCCUAAGUUCACUUCAAAUCUUCUCUCUGUUAAGAAAACGACUAAGGACUUGAAUUGUUUAGCUAUUUUUAGUCCUAAUGACGUGAAGUUGCAGGAUAUUGAGAGUGGAAAAGUGUUUGGGCAAGGAAGCACCAAGGAUGACUUAUAUGUGUUUCAAGACAUCUCUUUAAAUUCUGUUUCUAAGAAUAAUGUUUCUUCUAUCUUUUCAAACUCUGUUAAAACAUCGGUUGUAUUGUGGCAUGAGAGACUUGGCCAUCCACAUUCUCGAGCUUUAAGUUUAUUAAUGCCUGGUUUUUCUUAUGAUUGCGCAAAUUGUGAAGCAUGCAUAUUAGGCAAACAUUGCAAAGCUGUUUUUCCUAAGUCUAGUGCGAUUUAGGAAAAAUGUUUUGACCAUGUGCAUUCUGAUGUGUGGUCUUCACCUUGUGCAUCUAGAGACAAUCAUAAGUACUUUGUCACUUUUAUAGAUGAGAAAUCUAAGUAUACAUGGGUAACUUUGAUGCCAUCUAAGGAUAGAGUUUAUGAUGCGUUUAUAAACUUUCAAAACUAUGUGACUAAUCACUUUGAUGCAAAGAUUAAGAUUCUUAGAACAGAUAAUGGAGGUGAAUAUACAAGCAACAAGCUCAAAGAACACUUGGAGAAAUGCGAAAUCCUUCACCAAACUAGCUGUCCAUACAAUCCACAACAAAAUGGAGUUGCUGAGAGGAAGAAUAGGCAUUUAAUGGAGGUGGCAAGAGCUAUGUUAUUUCAGAAGCAUAUGCCAAAGCGGUUUUGGGGAGAUGCGGUGAUGACAGCAUGUUAUCUCAUCAAUCGAAUACCGACACGUAUCCUUGAUGAUAAAUCUCCAUUUCAGAUUUUAAACAAAACUAUCCCUAACAUUGAUCAUUUGAGGGUCUUUGGAAGUCUUUGUUUUGUGUUUAUCCCAGGUGACUUGAGGAACAAACUGGAACCCAAGAGUAAUAAGUGUGUUUUUAUUGGAUACUCAACAACUCAGAAAGGUUACAAGUGCUUCGAUCGAGCCAACAAUCGAUAUUAUGUAUCAAGUGAUGUCAAGUUUAUGGAAGACAAGGCCUACUUUGAAGAGAAGAGCUGGGAAAGCGUUAAGGACCUCCCUAAUUCCACUUUAGAUCGUGCUCAGAGUCUUCGGCAUAUUCUAGAACAUUUGGGUAAUGUAAGCUCUCCACAAGAAGAUAAGGAAGCUACACCAAAUGAUGGUAACAAUCAAGCCCAAGAAAGCGGUGAUAAUACACCACAAGAGUCUCUGGAUAAUCAACAAGAGAGUGGUAAAGAAGAAGGGUUAAGUGAAGAAGUGGAAGAGAAAGAUCCAUCUAGUGAAGGUGACAUUAUUGAAUCAUCAAGAGGAGAUGAGACUUAUCAAGCUCCACCAGUAACACGAGAUCCUAUCUAUACUCGGGAGAAUCCAAGAAGGAGUACAAGAGAGAGAAAAUUGAAGAAGUGCCUCUAUAAUUGCCAAGCCGUGGCUCAUCCAAUUCAAGCAACAUUUUCGAUUGACCUUCUUCCCGAGGAACAUAAAGCUUUCAUUAGUAAGCUAGAUGUGGAAUUUAUCCCACAAAGCUAUGAAGAAGAUAAAGAAAGAAAGGAGUGGACGAAUGCGGUAGAUGAUGAAGUACAAGCUAUGAUAAGGAACCAUACAUGGGAUGAAGAAGAGCUACCAAAAGGAAAGAAGUGUGUUAGCUCAAAAUGGGUAUUCACCAUUAAGUACAAGAGUGAUGGUGAAAUUGAAAGAUAUAAGGCUAGGCUGGUUGCAAGAGGGUUCACACAAACCUAUGGUGAUGAUUAUAGGGAAACAUUUGCUCUGGUAGCUAAGCAACACACGGUGAAGGUUGUUCUAUCUUUGGCGGUUAAUUUGGAUUGGGAGUUGUGGCAAAUGGAUGUCAAGAAUGCUUUCCUUCAGGGGAGUUGGAAGAAGAAGUCUACAUGUCACCUCCUCCGGGUUUAGAAGACAUAGUGGCUCCGGGAAAGGUCUUAAGGCUUCGGAAAGCAAUCUAUGGUCUCAAACAGUCUCCAAGAGCUUGGUAUCACAAGCUAAGCUCCACCUUAUUGGCUAAUGGCUUCAAGAAGUCACAUUCGGAUCAUACUUUGUUUACUAAGCAAGAUAAUCAAGGCAUAGUAGUGGUAUUGGUCUAUAUUGAUGACUUGAUUAUCUCGGGAAGUAACAAAGAAGGGAUCCAAGCGAUUAAGUCUUCUUUACACUCAGCCUUUGAUAUUAAAGAUUUGGGUGUGUUGAAGUAUUUCUUAGGGAUUGAGGUGUGUAGAUCCAAGGAGGGACUGUUUCUCUCACAAAGGAAAUACGCCCUCGAUCUCCUAAAGCUUACAGGGAAACUUUGAGCUAAACCAGUGGAUACACCACUAGAGCAAGGAUACAAGGUCAAUCGAAAGGGGGAGAAGGAUGAUACUCCAUAUCAUUGCCCGGAACAGUAUAGAAGACUUGUAGGUAAGCUCAUAUAUUUGACAUAUACUCGGCCUGAUCUCUCUUUUGCCGUGAAUCAGGUGGCUCAGCAUAUGCAAGCCCCUACGGUGUACCAUUGGAGUUUGGUGGAGAGAAUUCUGAUAUAUAUCAAAGGAAGUCCCGGCAAAGGCAUUUGGAUGGGAAGAAACUUUAGCACGGAAAUUGUUGGGUACUGUGAUGCAGACUACAAUGGAGAUCGCAACACAAGGCAGUCCACAACCGGCUUUUGCACUUUCAUUGGUGGCAAUCUUGUAACUUGGAAGACAAAUAAACAGAAGGUGGUGUCUUGUUCGAGUGCUGAAGCGGAGUAUAGGGCUAUGAAGAAGCUCACAAACGAGUUGACAUGGCUGAAGGCUCUACUAAAGGACUUUGGGAUCGAGCAAAAGACGCCAAUUACCUUCCAUUGCGACUACCAAGCAGCCAUCCAUAUUGCUACUAACCCCGUGUUCCACGAGAGGACCAAGCACAUAGAGACGGACUGCCACAAGACAAGAGAGAAGAUCGAAGACGGUACAAUCCUUCCUUGCUACACUACGAGUUCGGACCAAUUGGCCGAUAUCUUCACCAAGGCAGCAAGUAACCAAGUUUAUCAAUUUAUCCAUGGCAAACUUGGUCUUGUAGACCUCACACAUCCUUGAGAAAGGCUCCCUAACUCGUUGGGACAAUACUCUUUUUCCCUAGGCUUGGUUUUGUCCCACGUGGUUUUCCAAGCUUAGGUUUUUAAUGAGGUUGUUCUUGCGAGUGCCAAGUUUAUACACAAUGAGUAUUGUAGUAUAAACUUGAGGGGGAGUGUUAAUCAAGAAGACAUUUAACACUUGGGUUACUCGGGUUACAGGUUACAUGGUUAAAUGUAGGUUACUUGGGUUACUCGGGUUACAGGUUACUUGGGUUACUCGGGUUACAAGGCUGAAUGAGGGUGCUGUUGGUCUUUGUGCACAACCCACCUCAGACCUAGAUUUUGUUCUCUAUAUAAACAUGUGUGCCUCCUCAUUGUGUGAGACACAUCUAUUAUUCAACACAUUUUAAGUUUCUCUCUAUUCUUAAAUCAUGUUUUAAUCAAUCUUUCCUAAGCUGAGAUAGAUGCGCCACUCUUGCCUUGUGUAAUGGCCUGCAUCGCUUUCUCUUGCCCGUACUGAACCAUAGCUCUUUCUUCAUUCUAUGACCCACCAUCACUUCCAUUAACCGCAUUUGCCUUUGGCUUGAAGUUCUUGAAUUUUUCUGGUUUUAAAUGGGGAUGAAGAAGCCAGCAUUUAUCCUUCAAGUGACCUUUUUUCUUGCAAUGGUCAUAAACCCAUGUCUUCUUGUCUACUUGCUUGACAACUCCAGCCUUGUUUGCAGUCGGGAGACUUCCUUUGCUGUUAAACAGUCCUUGAGCUCCAUACUCUUUCUGAAUCUUCGCACACGCUUGUUCUAGAGUUGGCACCUUGUCAUCUCUUAGUAUAUGCUGAAUCACAUCAGUGUAGCUCGAGUUUAGUGUCAGCAACAAACCGAAUACCAAAUAUUGCUCUCUACGAUCCUUAAGAGCCUUUGCCUCAGUAGUGAAGGGUCUUAACAUCUCAAGCUCAGGUACAAGCGACCUGUACUUUCCAAAGUGAGUGUUGAAAUCACUCUCUUCUUGACUUAGCUCACCAAGAACUUUCUUGAUAUGGUACACUCGGGUCAGAUUAGUCUCAUUGCCAAAGACAUUAGCUAGAGUGUCCCAUAACUCCUUUGAAGUCUCACAAUACGAAUACCCUUCCAAGAUCGCAGCGUCUGGAGAACAAUGUAGAGCGCUUAAAACAUUCAGAUCAUUCUGCCUCCAAGUAUCUUCACUCAAGUUCUCUUCUUUAGCCUUUGCUUCUUCAUAGGUAUUUUCGAUGUAUUUAGUGAAUUUCCUUCCUCCCAAUACAUUUGUUGUGGUUCUCUUCCACAACAGAUAGUUGUUACCAUUCAACGUGACUGCGAAUUUCAAGUCUUUCAAGUCCUUGAACGUAUCACUCGUUUUCUGAACUGUGAGAGACAUCUUCAACAGUUUCAGGAUGUAAUAACCACAAAUAAACCGAAAAGGUGUCGACUUUCUUCCCAAUAAGCAACCGCAAACAAACCAAUCAGCAACUACUACUCUACCGAAGCUUUAAUUCUGAGCCUAGUUCUGAAAGUAUCUAAGAAUCUCGACCUAAAGAAGAUAAAAGCUCAAACCUUUGGAUACACAAGACCAAACGCCUGAAAACUUCUCCUCUUCAACCCGCUUUGACACUAAUCCACAAAGAACUCAGAAAGGUUGAGGCUUUUACGAUGAAUAGCUCUGUCACAGACCAGUAGUAACUCUCCUUCACAAACAGAUGCCUUUUCGUGAAGAAGUAGAAGAAGAAACCGAACAACUUGUUUAGAAGCCAGAUUCGAACAAAGACAAAGAGAAAACAGAGAACCGAUGAACCAAAAGAUGAAGAUUAAAGAUUAAGAACGUGCUCUGAUACCAUGAGAAUAUUUAAGUAGGAAAGAUUGAUUGAAACAUGAUUUAAGAAUAGAGAGAAACUUAAAAUGUGUUGAAUAAUAGAUGUGUCUCACACAAUGAGGAGGCACACAUGUUUAUAUAGAGAACAAAAUCUAGGUCUGAGAUGGGUUGUGCACAAAGACCAACAGCACCCUCAUUCAGCCUUGUAACCCGAGUAACCCAAGUAACCUACAUUUAACCCUGUAACCUGUAACCCGAGUAACCCAAGUGUUAAAUGUCUUCUUGAUUAACACCUGGAACCGGAAGGUAGCUAUUCGACGACAGAGCACGAAAUCCGGGUGACUAGGUUGACUAGUGAUUUGUUCAGCGAUUUCGAGAAUGGUAAGUAACAGUAACAUAAAAUAGCGUACUUGAACAGCUGUAUAUUAUUAUGAACGACUAUGUAAUAAUAUUGAAUGUCUAAAAGAAAACUUGUGGUAUAAAUGGCACAACUGGAGCUUCAAGUGGGGAGCAAACUGAGAUGGCUGAGCCAGCACAUCGCAAGCGAUGCGGAGCCGGCAACAGCCGCGGAUAACAGUUAAUAUUAUAAAGUAGAGCAAUAAGGAUAGAAAAAGUGUGAGGCCGCUUAAUUAAUUACAAUUACAUGUGUACAGGUGAAGGUGGUGACAACGACAACAAUGACCCACCUGUCGGAGGAAAUGUUGCAGGGAUGAUACGCUUGCUAAACCUGUCAGAACACACUUUUGCACGUGACGCAGCACCGGUGCUUAACGACGCCAACCCAGACGGUAAUGUCUAUAUAGAGGGCUAUGUUUUGAGUUGGUUAUGUAAUUCUGUUUUUGGUGGUUCACAUACUAACAUAGAUGGUUACACAUCGCAGCAGUUGGUGAUAGAACAUGAUUGUUCCUACUGGACGUGGAUUACGAAGGGGAUGAGAUAUUUGUAGGGUGAGUGUUCAAAAACCGAGACGACUGUAGAGUGAAGAUAGCAGUUCAUGCGAUCAACAGGAAGUUCAGCUUCUGUAAUGAUCUGACGGCCGUCUUUUCCCCUCUUUACGGCGGCUGUGGGGAGAGAGAACUCUCUAGGCUGGGCGAAUUGUUUAGUUGUUCUAGAAAAAUUAUAAUCAUUUUUUGCUUGGAAUAUAUAUAUUGGUUUAUGUUCAAUUUAUGAUUUUGAAUGCAGUGAUUUUGGAUCCAUCGAAGAUCCAUCCAAAAGGUGCGGAUCUUAUCCGCUACGGGUCAGACUUUUAAAAACGCGCGAAUCCUUUCAGCUAUAGGUCGGAUCUUCUUAAUUAAGAUUUUUAAUCUCGACAUUACCCUUCUUAAUUUUAAUUAAUCAUCUUCUUAAUGCUUAAUUGAGUGGUAAUUGAUGUAAUUAGAGUUGUAAUUUCGGACAUGUUCUACUUUGUACUUUUCUUUUACUUACUUAAUUAUAGGAAGAUUAACAAUAUUAGUAGAUCAUAUUAAGAUGUUUUAAUUAGAUCGAUCAAAAUCAUGGUAUAGUAGUAAAAUUAUAAGAAGAUUAACAAUAUUAGUAGAUCAUAUUAAGAUGUUUUAAUUAGAUAGAUCAAAAUCAUGGUAUAGUAGUAAAAUUUCGGACAGGUUUCACACAACAGCCAAAAAAAAAAGGUGUUUUAGUAUACAAAUCAUAAAGGGGAAUUGCAGUCUAUAACCAAAAAAAAAAUUAUAAUUCACUCUAUAACCAUUCUAACCAUGAACCGUCGAUAUUACAUGUAUUUCAUGUAUUAUAGACAAGUUUACCCUCAUUGCAUAAGUAACAGUUGCCUACUUUCGCAACCUUGAGAAACACGAACCGUAAAAGUGAAAAGACAAGUCGAUGUCUAAUCCUGCCAAUUAAACGACAACUUCGUCGCGAGAGAAAACAGAGAGUUAGGGUUUCACCGGAAUCGACCUUCUGGUUGGGAUUCAUCUCCGUCGCCGGAAUUAGAAGUUUGCCGUCACCAGAUUAGCGGUUGUCGUUUGUUUCUGAGUAAGUCGAGGGUUGGGAUUUCUAUAACUGUUGUCGAUUGCUCCAUAUCUAUUUCUGACUCAAUCUAUCGACUUACUCAGGUGAAUUGCCGUAAACCUUUAAAGAUCAACCGUAAACCUUUAACGCUAUCACCACCACCGCUACCUGUCACCGCAACCACCGCUACUGCCAUCAUCACCAUUGCCAUCGCCAACCACCACUACGGCUACCUCCGUAAUCGCUCCACCCAACACCACCGUAAUCACCAUCACCAUCGCCACCGUUAUCGGCACCAUCACCCCACCGUCACCACCACCACCACCAUCAUCUCCACCACCGUUACCACUGUUAUCGCAACCACCGCUACCGCCACGACCAUUGCCAUCGCCAUUGUCACUACUCACUGCUGCUACAAUUGUAAUCGCCACCACCCAACACCACGGCCAUCACCAUCAUCACGCUGUUUUCUAAUUCAAUUUCUUAUGUUUAUCUACCAUUAUCUUUUUCAUAAGCUAUUCCAAUUGAUCUAACAUUUGUUCCUUAAUUAAACAUUUGUUCGUUUUACCCUCUUCCAACUUGAAUCCACCCAAGUCAUAUCACAAAUCAUAGUUUGAUAUUUGAUAAUUGAUCGAUUGCAUUCAAUAUAGAAAAAGAGAUGAAUAUUGAUUGGAUGAGAAUGAACAAGAGAAGUAAAGAAGACGAGAAGAAGAAAAUCAAUUUUUCAAUAGAUUUGUCUCAAAUAGAAUAGUAUUGUAAGUUUAUGGAACAUCAUAUUUAUUAAUACCGUUUUUAGAUAUAUGUUUUGGGUUUGGGUUUAGACUUCUGGAUUUAGGGUUUAGUAUUUUAGAGUUAAAAGUUGAUUUUAAGUAUAAUAUAUAAGAGAUAGUAAAGUAUUAUACCUAUUUUUGUGUGAUUAUGUAUAUUACAACAUAUUUUUAAUUAUAAACAUGAUUUAUUAGGCAUUGUGGAUACCACUAUCACCACUAUGUUAAUCAUUAGUAUUUUAUUUGCUUCUAUACUAUUUUUUUUGUGCUUUAUAUAAACCAAGUUUAUUAAUUUAUUUUUUAUUUUUAUAAGUUGUUGUCGGUUUUUAGAAAUCCAAAUCAUAAUAUAUAGAGAAAAAAAGACCAGAUUUUUUUCUAUAAAAUUUAUAAAUUUAAAUUAAUGUUUUCAAACACUAAAUAUAACGUAAAAAUCAAAUAGGGUAGAAGAAAAACAAAUAUUAAAAAGAAGAAACAAUUAAGCUUUUUUCUCUCUCCUCACAGACGUCACCUCUCUUUUCCUUCCUCCUUCUAUGCGCGUGUCUUACACCCAAGGUGUGUUUUGUCUUUUCACUACUUAUUAUGGUUAUUCUCUUCAUUUUGGACUUUAGUAUGCUAUAUUCUUCAUUUUCUUUAUCAAAAUGGUCACUCACCUAAUUGCCCCAAUCAUAAAUGCUAGUACCAAAUUUUCAAAAAAAAAAAAAAAAUGUGUAAAUAAAGACCAUAUAUAGUCGCAAUUAAAGAAAGUUACUAGUUGUGUUUGAAAAGAGAAGCAGUAAAUGAACUUCACCAACAUACUUUUUAUUUUUACCAAAAAAGAUUUUCCUUAUUCACACACUUACCAAUAAAUGACAAGAAGACUUUUUUGAAAUACUUUGAACAUCAGGCCUUUCAUUUUUUUUUUGGUAAGGGACAUCAGGCCUUUCAUUAGUGUACGAACAUUUUAAAUUUUUAAAUUUUAGAGUGAAUUAGCGCAGAAGUAAAAUUAGGAAAAAUACAUAACCACCUAAAACGGAAAAUAAUUACUUACUAGUUAUUUGGCCGUCAAUGAGACAGCGCUGAAUACUCGCAACAGUGAUGAUGGUUUACGGCGACGGUGGCGUGAAGACUUAAGGCGACAGAGGGAUAUUAUAGAGGAGAGAUAAAAUGGAACAAUGAGGAAAGAUAAAUGGGUAUCCAAAAGUCUGAUAUUAACAAAAAAGGAGAAGCGCGUGAGGAUAUUUUGGACCGAAAUGUGGGCUAAAUAUUUACGUUAUCUUGGGCUGCACAUUAACUAACCAAAACUAAUUUGAUCUGGAUCCAUUGUCUCUCAGCUAUUUAACUCUAUUAUUUAUUAACCAUAAGCAAAAAAAAUUAUGUUCGUUGGAGUCGGUUCCUUUCAGGUUUAAGUUAAGACCCGUCCGAAUAUUUUAAAAUUUUGAUUUGUUUGAGUAUUCAAUUAGUUAAAUCAAAUAAAAACUAGAUCCGCAAAAAAAUCAAAUAAACCUUUAUAUCCAAAAAAAUGUAGAGAAAUUGCUUCUUAUAGCCUAGAUCAAGUUUUUGGAACAAAAAUAGCACUCAAAAGUUUAUUGGACAAAAAUAGCACUUAUUUUUUAUUUUUUAAAUUAAUAAAUAACUAUAAAUAGAUACAAAAAAUCACAAAUUCAUCGUUAAUAUUUUUCCGCCCAAAAAAAAAUUCCGUCAAAAUUUCCUGCCAAAAUAUUUUCCGCUCCCGAAAAAAAAAAUCGUCAAAAUUUUUCCGCCAAAAAAAAAUCCAAGAAUUUCAGGAAGGAUUCCACGAAAUUUAGGAAGUAUUUCAUGUAAUUUAGGAAGGCUUUCACGAUUCGUGAAACCCUUCCUGAAUUACGUGGAAUCCUUCCUGAAAUUCAUUAAUUCAUUAAAUUCUUCCUAAAUUACGAGGAAUCCUUCCUUAAUUUCGUUGAAUCUUUCCUAAAUUUCGUGCAAUCCUUUCAGGAAUCAUUUCUUGAAAUUCAAGGAAUCCUUCCUGAAUUUCGUGGAUUUUUUUGGCGGGAAAAAUUAGACCGGAUUUGUUUUUGCGGGAAAAUGUUGAAAAUUUUUUUUGGCGGGAAAAUAUUUUUACGUUGCGGAAAUGUUUUGGCGGGAAAAAUAAAUUUUGGUGGGAAAUUUCUAAUUUUAUUUAUUUAUUUAUUUUAAUUGAACUAAUUAUUCAUAUUUAAUAUUUAAUUAAAGUUUAUAGUACUAUUUGUGUAACUUUUCAUAUGUAGUGCUAUUUUUGGAAGAAAAACUUAUUUUAGUGUUAUUUUUUUCAAUCUCCCAAAAAUGUAUUUAUGAAUAUAUCAUAAAAAUAAUUAAUUAAACAACGAAACUUUAUAUUUCUUAAAUAUAAAAUAAAAGCUAAAACAUGCGUAAACAUCUAGAACCACUUCAAUUUUAGGCCAUGAAUUGGAGACAUAUUCUUUGAACCAGAGGGUGUGGUUAUUAAAGAUGUUACCAUUCAACAUAUUUCUAAUAUGUAGUAAUUUUUUAAUUAAAAAGGUAAAAACUAUAAAAUAAAUAAAUAUAGUUAAGUAUGGUUUAGACUUUGUCAAAACGCAUGGUGCGUUCUAUAUAUAUCCAUUUAGGUGUGGUUAUGAUAUAUAAAAAAUCAAAUAAAUAAAAUUUCUCAAAAUUGUACAUUAUAUUCAAAAAAAUAAAAUAAACUGAAGGUAUUUAAAAUAAUUAGUUAAAGUUUCAUAAUUAUUAAACCAUACCGCACUUGUGAUAUUCACCAUUCAUACAUUAUCAUAUACCACUUAUUUCAUACUAACUACAUUUGUUCUUCAUGGUGCGUUGCUCUCUAACGAACCGCAAUUAAACUGCACCGCACUAUUCAAUCUGUUUAUCCCGCAUUAUUAAAUCUACUGUCACCAUUCGGAGCUUUGGAUUGAGAUUUAAAACACUACAAUUACGGAUUUGAAUAACUAUUUUUGAAUACCGCACAUUCAUCACCAAUCAGCAUUUAUUACUACAUAUUGGCAUUUUUUAUUUUUUUUAAAUAAAUAUAUCACGGUUUCCAAAAAAAGUAAAACCAAGUAGACUGUUUUUCAAAAUUGAAACAACUCUUUACCCUACAGUGCAAUGAAAUCUGCAAUGGAUUAUACACUUUUUAUUAUAUUUAUUUUCUAAUUAUUAAAAAUAGCAAUACUUACAACAAAUUAUGAUUAUUCUUAUAUAAAUAUAUAUUUUACGGCAAGUAAAUAUAUACACUUUAAAAUUUUAUUAAUAAAAAUAAAAUAGUUAAUAGUUUCAAAUUUAUUUAUGAAAAAUUAUACAGUAAUUGUUAGAUUUUAUUGAAUGUUGAAAUAUCUUCAGGAGGAACAUGUUCAACUCAUCUAAUAGAAAUUUCAACUCUUCUUACUGAAACAACAUUACAUGUUCAAGAUGAUUACAAUGAAUUUACAAAGACGGAAGUAAUAUUCAUUGUGCCAGACCUUCCUAAACAUAAUAGAUUUUUACUGGGCAUGUAAUAGUACACUUAAAGAGCAAGUAUUUUGAAUUAAAUAUUCUACUGAUAUACAUAGAAAGCACCGAUAAAGAUAAGCUACAACUGCUGAAAACUAAACUGGUAUCUUACGGAAUAUGUGCCCAAACAAUUAGGUUUAGGCCAAUAAUAAUUUUUUUUUAUGAUUGAAAGUUUUUAUUAUAUAACAAUUUGGAUAUUUAAGGUACAUAAAUAUAUGAAAAUGUUUCUUUAUUACCACAAAAUAAACACUAAUUUAUAAUUAUAAAUAUAUUUCUUUCUAACAUAUUUAUCUAUAAUCAGCAAUGCGCACCGCUUGUUGUUUUUCUUACCAUUCAAACUUUUUAUUAUGUACCGCAUAUAGUUUUUUCAUCAAUCAAACUUGAUUCCGUACCGUUUAUUUCGUACUAACCGCACUUAUCCCUUAAAUAUUUUUCUCCCUCACGUACCGUAGUGGAAAGUGUACCGCACUAGAAAACUAUUUUUCUCGCACAACUAAAUACGAUGUUAUCCUUGAGACCCUAAAAAUCUGAGUUUUCUUGUUAUUGAAGGUGUUUAGUAAUGUGCAAACUGUGAAACAUGUCAACCUUAGAGCAUAGAGUACUGAAGCCAUUUGAUCAAAAAAAAAAAAAAAAAAGAGUAGUAAAACCAUAGAUUAGGACAUGAAAAUUUUGGAUGCAUUUUUAUGUAAAAACUUAUUUACGCCAUUUUAUGUAUAAAUUACAUUAUAGGAUUUUUCUAUAUAAAAAUAAUAAUUACUGGACUUUUUUCUAAAUAGUGGUAGUAUGAUUUUACUGAUAAUAAUUAAUUGUAUUGUUAAAAAAUUAUUAUUUUUAUUACUAAAAUUUUUAUUUUUUAAAUACUACACGAUGAAAAAUAUUAUAUUUUUUCUUUUCAGUUUUUUCGUAAGACAUCCAAAAGAUGUCAAAUUGGUCUAUGAAAUAUAAGAUUUUUAAAAAACAGUUGAGAAAAUUUAAUAUAUGAUUUAUAUCUUAAGGAAAAAUUAAUCAUAUAUCAAAACAAAAUCAUCCAUUUAAGCUUUAAAAAAAAGUUUUUUUGCGUGGGAAAAAUAAUCCAGAGUUGGAGAGCUUACAUGGAAACUAGAGAAAUUUCGUGCAUGUGCAUUUUUUUGCAGGACAAUAUUACAACGUUAAAGAUAAUUAAGAAAAAAUAUAUAUAUAUUCUAAUUUCGCAAAGGAUGAGCACUUAUCUGGAGGCUGGAGCAUCAAUCAGUUGAAUAGAAGCCUUACAAUCUGUCUCAAAAAUUACAUUGGUUAAAGAAGACGAAAUAAGGCAUAUCAUUUCCUAAAGUAGAGAUUCAAAUUCUGUGUGAAAGGAUGACAAUAAUAUGUGUGAGCUUUUUUACCCAAGAAGGAUAAAACAACAUAAUAUAAGGUAGAAAAAAGUGGAUGAUGUUGUUAUUUUGAAAAAAAAAAUAAAAUAAAAAAUAAAAUAAAAAUCUCCCGUAGUGUGGCAGUUUUGAUGAGAUUUUGAAUCCCAUGUUAUAACCGUGUUAAGACUAUAAUCGCAACACUCGAUUAUAGAAUCUACGAACGGUUCUACUAUAUACCUUCGAGACUUACUUUUAAAGAGUAGAGAAGAAGGAGAGAGAAUUUUGCUUGAAACAUUUGUGUUUUGAUAAUCGAAUGAAUGAGAGAUUGAGGAGAUAUUUUAUUAUAGAGAGGUGUAGCUUGACCUACACGUUAGAGAGGAAUAGAGUUACGGAAAUAUUCCGCUUUGUUCCACAAGGAUAAGGAUAAGGAUUCGGAAAUAUUACGAAAAUAUUAUUGAUACAAUCUAUAACCUUCUAGAUGUAUCCAAAAUUAUGCAAAAAAUCUUAAGAGAAAAUUAACACACUACAGGAAAUUUGGGUAUUGAUAGCACUAAAAGAUAGCGUUUUUUAUAUCUAUGCUAUCUUUGACUGAAUCGUGAUUUAAAGAUAGCGUUUGAUAAUGUGUAAACGCUAUCAAUGGUUUAAGCGGGAUCCAAAUUUUUCACGCGGCCAAAAAUUUUAGUUAACCCGCUAUUGAAUCUGGUUAAGCGAGACCAAAAAAAAAUGACCUAAGGCAAAAAUAAAGAAAAAACUAAAAUUCACUUUCCUCUUUUUUUCUAAGGGAAAACCCGAUCUAACACUUCCCCUCUCUCUGUUCUUGAGCCAUCGUCGAUUAGAGGAGAGUCUGGGAAAUGAAGAACGUACCUGAAGGAAAGAACCUAUAGAGAAAAUUUUCUAGGUUCGUGCGCAACGAAUCACCAUUAGAGAAGACAUUUCUCUGAGAUUUUGGGGCUGUGGAGUUAGAAAUGGUAAAGAUUAAAACCCUGAGAAAGAGUUAGAAAUUUAUAUUCGAUUGUGUUUAUAAUUUUAUUCAAUUAUGGUAUUUGCGUGUUUGAAAUUUGCAGAUACCAAUCGAAUCGUCAUUGCAAAGAGUUCCUUCAAGCUUUCUAAUCCUCUCGGUUGGUUACUUUAUUCCCUUUCUCAUCGAAUUUUUCAAUUUAUUAUAUCUUUUGCUUGAUCGAUUUUUCAAGUACUUAAAUCGCUGAUUCUUAAUUUGUUGAGUUUCUGAUUACUUGAAUUAGAUCGUGUAAGAUUCUGAUUUUGGAACUCAAUCUUGAUUAGUUUUGAUCUUCUGGGAUCAGAUAUGAUUUUGUAAUUUGUGGUUUUGAUUGGAUUGUAAUUCAUGUAUCAUUGUAGUUGAAAGAGUUAGCUCAAGCUUAUGAAGUGCUUAGUGAUCCGGAGAAGCGUGAGAUUUAUGACGAGUAUGGUGACGAUGCACUCAAGGAAGGAUUGAUAGAUGAUGAACAAGGAAGAUACUCUCAAUUCAGUGAGGAUUUUCUUCUAAGCAAUCCAUGUGAUGGAGGAGACAGCUCCUUGCUUACUCUUUCUGGGGACGCUUCUUCUGAUCUUGACCUUGGCUGUCCUAAUGACAACUUCUCCUUAACAGAGCAAUUGGAACUGCAGUUUUUGUCUGAUGAGCUUGAGUUAGGCAUCACAGACAGUGCUGAAACCCCAGACUUGAUGUAAGUUAACUUGGAGAGACACAUGGAUUGUUGUUACCCUUGAGACUGUUCAGAGUGAGUUUCUCUCCUUAACUUGCUAGCUUUUUUGUUCUGAUUGCAGGAGAUCUACCAAGUGAAUCAUGGCCAAAACUGUGUUCCUGCAUCAAUGUCUGCUACUGCAGAGCUUUCUCCAGGAUCAGCAGUUAACCACAUACCAGGAAUGAGAUGGAUUCCUGAGCUCCAUGAGCUUUUUCUAGAGGCCGUGAAAAAGCUUGAAGGGCCUGAAAGUGAGUUAGCUUUUAUGUUAUUCCAGCAACCAAUCUAUUAUUCGAAAGAGUUCUUCUGACCAAUAUCUUUUUUUGUUUCACUCCUGUUCCCAGACCCCUGAAAGAGAUUUUACUAUCAAGAUAUCUGGUCUGUAAAUAUACAAUGAAAAUGUUAGUGUUUUGCUGAAUUCAUAUUCCGGUCGUGCCCUUAAACUCCUUGAUGACUCAGAGGUAUUACACUAAUUUACAUUAAUUAUGUUCUUGCUCAUGUUAUGGCCUUGAUUGACUGUAGACUGUGGGUACGUCUCAAUGAUAUUAUCUCAUCAUUGUCUUUCUUUAAUCAAUGCUAGAUUGCUGGUUGAUUCCAUGGAUGUGUAAUGAGUUAGUAGUCAAAUUUUUAUCGGAUAUAGCUGAGCUCUGAUGUAGUUAAGGACGGCUCUUGAGGUUUUGCAGGGUAAACUCAAUUUGACAGAGAGGUAAAUGUUGGAGAAAUCAUCUCAGUUAGCUAUGGAGAGAAAUAAAAGAACAGAACUCUAUAACGCUUACAAGAAGCUGACGUCCAAAUAUAAGUUUGUCUGCAAAAGAUUUGGUCUUACUGCCGACAGCUUCCUUGAGGAUGAUGGUCACUGGACCAAGAGUGAAGAAUGUUGUCAAGUUGAGCAGAGUAUAUGCUUACUGAAUUCAGAACCUCCUAUUGAUGAUAUGAUAGAGGAUCAUGACACCACUUUCGUUUUAUAUAUCUCUGUUACAUGUAUACUCUUAUCAUUUGUAAAUAAAAUAUUUCCAACAAUAUUCUUUUGUUCUCCAUUUUCUUUGAGAUUGAUUAUUUAUAUGAGAUUGAUUAUUUUAAGGCAUGUACUUUAGGUUUCAAGUUAAAUGAUUUUAAAGAUUUUUUAAGAUUUUUUAAAUGAUUUUCGAAUUUUGUAAAAAAAAAGUUUAAAAAAAAAAAAACCAAAUAUCUCAAAAAGACAUAAAUAUUUAAUUAUAAUAUUAAUAAUUACAAAAAUAAUAACAAAGUUAUAAUUUUAAAGAGUUUAGGGUAUAGAGUUUAGGGUUUAGGGUUUAGGAUAUAGGGUUUAGGGUAUGAAAUGUAUGGUUUAGGUUUUUGGAUUAUAUUUGUUUGAAAUAGUAAUAAUAUUAAUUAUAACAAAUAAUAACAUAAAUAAAAUUCAUUUUUAAAAAUAGUUUAGGGUUUAGGGUUUAGGGUUUAGGGUUUAGUGUUUUAAAUAGUAGCUAAUAUUAAUGAUAUAAAGUAGUAUACUAUUAUAACAUAAAUGAAUUCUAUCAUUUUAUUAAUUAUAACAUCAUUAAUGUGUUUCAACAAUAUGAUUUACACAAUAAGAAGAUUAGUGUACAUGUAUUCUAAGGCAAUCAUAUGUGUUCCCUUCAAAUUUCUAAAAACGUUGCAAAAUAUUUUUUUUUAAAUUGCGAAAAAUUAUAUAAUCAUGUAAAUAACUCAUAAACAUAUUAAUUCAUCAAUAUAUAAUUUUUUAAAAUUAUAUAAAUAGUAAAAAUACAUUUUUAUGCCUAUAAACAAAAUAAGCCAAUCAUAAUGUUUCACUCGGAUUGCUGAUGUGGCGAGAUCUCAGCCAUUCAUCGGAUCUAAUACUUGAUCAAUUUAAUUACUCAAUCCAAUCAUAAUGUUUCACUCGGAUACAUGACGUGGCAACAUCUCAGCCUUUCAAAGGCUUUGGCGGCUGCAUGUUUAAGGUAAUCACAUCCGUUCAUCGCCCAACAAAGCCUUUGGCGAGAUUCUCUUCAACCCUUUCUUCCUUUCCUCGACAUCGACUGAGAACAAAAUUCACAACAAAAUUAAUUCAGAUUAGGUCUUCGUCUUUGGCGACGGCUACUACGACGCCGGCAACAAGCAGUUUCUCUCCGGGAACCAUGUCGACGCCAAUUCUCCACCGAUGGCCACAUCAUUCCUGACUAUCUCGGUACAUUUCAUAUAUACUGAUCUCUUGAAAUCGGUGCUAAUUCGUGAAACAGAAUGAAUGAAUUUGAGUUGUCUCUGUUUUGCGCAGCUGAAUUGAUGGGUAUCCCAAGAAUCCCACCGAUUCUACGGAGCUCGGCAGAGGAUCUCUCUCACGGAGCUAGCUUCGCUAUGGCCGACGCCACCGUCCUCGGCUCUCCUCUCAAAACGGUCAGCUUUUAGUUUUCUCUAUUAGAUCUCGCCUUUAAGUAAAGUUUCUGUAUGGACCAUUUGAAUUUGCGUUAGUGAUAUCUGGAGAUUUCUUUUGUUUAAGUAAGAUUAGUUUACAUAUGAACACAGAUGACUGUUGUCCAAAAAAAAAAAAAUGAACACAGAUGACUCUGUCUCAACAAGUGAUCAAAUUCUUCCAAAACAAGAACAAAUGGACUGAUAAAGCUUUGUCAGAAGCUAUCUACUUGACCCAUAUUGGCUCUGAUGAUUAUUGGGUUUUAUAGUUUUGGUUGAUUGGUUUCUAGAGCUUGUGCUUUUGCUUCCCUUGUUGCUGCAUCUUCUGUUACAAUUUCUCUUUCGUUUUUCAUAUUGAAUCUUCUUGUUGCUGCAUCUUCUGUUAGUGUGUAAGCUGAUGUUCUUCUCUUUAUUUGGUUUAUAGUUAGUUUUCGUUUUGGUUUCUUUUAUUGACUCUAAGACUGAAUUUGGUUCCUUUAAACAACCUGACAUAGUCAAAAUGAAUGGUUGCUGAUAGCAG
This 72438-nucleotide long non-coding RNA is filed under the name Arabidopsis lyrata. RNAcentral describes it as "long non-coding RNA (ALYR_LNC000469)". Lineage: Eukaryota; Viridiplantae; Streptophyta; Magnoliopsida; Brassicales; Brassicaceae. The record is from RNAcentral.